This 68113-nucleotide long non-coding RNA is filed under the name Triticum aestivum (bread wheat). RNAcentral describes it as "long non-coding RNA (TAES_LNC024250)". The stretch from base 24241 to 24327 matches the Rfam family "MIR1120/MIR1122 microRNA precursor family". The record is from RNAcentral. Lineage: Eukaryota; Viridiplantae; Streptophyta; Magnoliopsida; Poales; Poaceae.
UCAUGUUUCAAAUUUGUUACAUAACGUUUACCAUAUGUGCAUGCUACAGGACUUGCAAACUUCAACACAAGUAUUUCUCAAAUUCACCACUACUCAACUAGCACAACUUUAAUAUCACUACCUCCAUAUCUCAAAACAAUCAUCAAGCAUCAAACUUCUCUUAGCAUUCAGCACACUCAUAAGAAAGUUUUUUACUAGUCUCGAAUACCUAACAUAUUAGGAUUAAUUUCCCAAUUUAAGCAAAUUACCAUGCUGUUUAAGACUCUCAAAAUAAAAUAAGUGAAGCAUGAGAGAAUAAUAGUUUCUAUAAAACAAAACCACCGCCGUGCUCUAAAAGAUAUAAGUGAAGCACUAGAGCAAAAACUAUACAGCUCAAAAGAUAUAAGUGAAGCGCAUAGAGUAUUCUAAUAAAUUACGAAUCAUGUGUGUCUCUCAUCAAAAGGUGUGUACAGCGAAGAUGAUUGUCGUAAACUAAAAAGCAAAACACAUAUCAUGUGGUGAAUAAAAAUAUAGCUACAAGUAAAGUUACCGAUGGAAGUAGACGAAAGAGGGGAUGCCUUCCGGGGCAUCCCCAAGAUUUGGCUUUUUGGUGUCCUUAGAUUAUAUUGGGGUGCCAUGGGCAUCCCCAAGCUUAGGCUCUUGCCACUCCUUGUUCCAUAAUCAAUCAAAUCUUUUACCCAAAACUUGAAAACUUCACAACACAAAACUCAACAGAAAAUCUCGUGAGCUCCGUUAGCAAAAGAAAACAAAACACCACUUCAAGGUACUGUAAUGAACUGAUUCUUUAUUUAUAUUGGUGUUAAAACUACUGUAUUCCAACUUCUAUAUGGUUUAUAAACUAUUUUACUAGCCAUAGAUUCAUCAAAAUAAGCAAACAACACACGAAAAACAGAAUCUGUCAAAAACAGAACAGUCUGUAGUAAUCUGUAACUAACGCAAACUUCUGGAACUCCAAAAAUUCAGUAAAAAUAGGAAGACCUAGAUAAUUUGUUUAUUGAUCGGCAGCAAUUGGAAUCAAUAUUUUAUCACGUUCUGGUGAUUUUUAACAAUUAUUUUCGUGAACAGAAAGUUUCUGGAAUUUUCAGCAAGAUCAAAUAACUAUCAUCCAAGAAGAUCCUAUAGGUUAAGCUUGGCACAAACACUAAUUAAAACAUAAAAACACAUCUAACCAGAGGAUAGAUCAAAGAUUUAUUCCUAAACAGAAGCAAAAAGCAAAAAAACUAAAAAUAAAAUUGGGUUGCCUCCCAACAAGCGCUAUCGUUUAACGCCCCUAGCUAGGCAUAAUAGCAAGGAUAGAUCUAGGUAUUGCCAUCUUUGGUAGGCAAUCCAUAAGUGGCUCUCAUAAUAGAUUCAUAAGGUAAUUUUAUUUUCUUUCUAGGGAAUUGUUCCAUGCCUUUCUUUAACGGAAAUUGGAAUCUAAUAUUCCCUUCCUUCAUAUCAAUAAUUGCACCAAUCGUUCUAAGAAAAGGUCUACCUAGAAUAAUAGGACAUGAAGGAUUGCAAUCUAUAUCAAGAACAAUAAAAUCUACGGGCACAUAAUUCCUAUUUGAAACAAUAAGAACAUCAUUAAUUCUUCCCAUAGGUUUCUUAAUGGUGGAAUCCGCAAGGUGUAAGUUUAGAGAGCAAUCGUCAAAAUCACGGAAACCUAGCAAAUCUCACAAAGUUUUUGGAAUCGUGGAAACACUAGCACCCAAAUCACACAAAGCAUAGCAUUCAUGAUCUUUAAUUUUAAUUUUAAUAGUAGGUUCCUAGUCAUCAUAAAGUUUUCUAGAGAUAGAAACUUCCAACUCAAGUUUUUCUUCAUAAGAUUGCAUCAAAGCAUCAACGAUAUGUUUAGUAAAAGCUUUAUGUUGACUAUAAGCAUGUGGAGAAUUCAGCACGGAUUGCAACAAGGAAAUAUAAUCUAUCAAAGAGCAAUUGUCAUAAUUAAAUUCCUUGAAAUCCAAAAUAGUGGGUUCAUUAAUAUAUAGAGUUUUGAUCUCUUCAAUCCCACUUUUACCAAUUUUACCAAUUCCUUGAAAAAGCAUUACGGAUUCUUUACACUCCCCCACGGGGUUCAUCUCGAUUCCUUGCAGGGAACAAAAUAAGGAGGUUUCUAGGAAUCAUAUCUACAGAUGUCGCCGUCGACGCCAUCAUCAACAGUGGGCCACGAGGGGCCGACGCCGACCCCAUCCAAAUCAAUGAUGACGACGAGCGGACGCUGCUGCUGGGCUCCGGCCACGGCGAGAGCUCGGGGGCACGUAGCUGUCGUCGCUCGUCUCCGGAGUCUCGUCUGGCUCAGGAGAGUUGCUGGACUCCCAUGCGUCGUCGUGCCGCUGGAGGAGCUGUCGGCGGGGCCAAGGGCGGGCCCAGUGCCGGCCACCACGCCGUCUUGGCGACCCCCUCCAGGGCAGCACUCCAGGCGACGGCCUUCCUCGUCGAAGACCUUGAAGAACAGCGUGGAGGCGCCGUCGUACUCAAAAUGGAUGGCGAGGGCCCCCUCCGCGCGGCAGGUGCAGGCGACCUUGCCCCAUCCACGGGUCAUGAAGAUCUUGCCCGGGGAAACAACCACGACCUCCGCUCCCGUCACCGGGGUGCUCCACUCGGCAUGCUGCAGCCACAGCUCGAGCAGCCCCCUCGGCGGGUAGCCUCCUCCUUCGGAGCCUUGUGCCUGGGCGUACAAGGGCAGCGGGUAGCCAGGGGAGGCCGCUCGUGCCAAGGCCUCGUCACCUCCUGCCUCACGACGACGUCGCAGGAGCGGGCCAACCUCUUCUUCGGCGGAAGUGGCCCCUGCUCUUCACGGGGGGUCUUUCCUUUCUCAGCGGCAGAGAAUCUCCUUAUCGGCGCCAUGGGUGUCGCAUCAAGACGGCGGAGCAAAGAGGAAGAAGAAGAAAUGGAUGGAGUGGAGGAGGAGAUGAGCAACGGGGGCUCCACCCUCUCCUCGUUUAUAGUCAGAGGGUGGCCAACCGCCGGCCACCACGAUCACAUGUAAUGAUAGUUUUUCCUCUGCAUGUAGCAGGGUCUCGUUGAGUCAAACGGUUGCCGAGGCAGCGUGGGGAUGCGGAGACGCCCAUGUCCCAUCAAUCGCCACGCGUCAAUCAAGGCCGCAGGCGGUUGGGGCCCGUGGCGCUCCGCACUUGCUCUUUAGCUUCGCCUCGAAGCCAAGUCCGAGCACGCCUUGGUCCCGGGGGCUACUGUCGGCGUUCUGGGACCGGGGGUGCCUAGACUUGCCUGCCUGCGGGCUUGUGCGUGGCUCCACCAACGGCCUGGUACGGCCCAUCUUCAGCAGCAACCACUCAAGACCCUCACGAGGGACCAAGGCUCGCGAGGUGGACGACACCAAGACCUCCUCAGGGGCAGCCUCACUAGGCUGGCUCCCGAGGGGCGAAGAUCUCUAUGCAAGGGGUACCUCGUGAGGUUCACGUGAUGUGAGCCAUGACGACCGAGGCCAGGCGGGCGCCAGCGGGCAUAGUGUACUAGUUUCCUCUUUGGUGAUAAAGAGGCAAGCGCAGGCAAGGAGUCCCGAGGCGUUAGGAAAAGGUUUCCAUAUCGGUGCAACAAGACCAAGGCCAGCAGGGCGGUAGGACGGAGGUCACUGCGGAGCCCACAGCAGCGUCACCACCAGAGCCUUUGGCAAGCGAAGACCACCUUUUGUCAGGAUAGCUUGUACUAUUUGUCCCCCUUCAAACUUGGCCAUUGUGGGAUCCCUUCCCGCCUAAAAUUUGGGAAGAGGACCAGGGCCUCUAUAAAUAGGACAUUGCCACCACCGUAGCAGGGGACAGAUCAUUCAGGUCACCCUCACACCCACCAGCUCAUAGAGCUCAAGAACACCUCCCCUCAGGAGGUUGUUCAUCCGCUGUACUAGUUCAUCCUCAGCCCCUCGAGGCAAUCCACCCACAAACUAGAGUAGGGUAUUACACUGCAAGGUGGCUCGAACCAGUAUAAACCCUCGUGUCUCUUGUUCCUUGGGUUCGUCGAGCUAGGCCGUGAGAUCGUUGAGCGGGCGAGCUAGGAGGAGAGUGUUCUUCGUGCGCACCCCAGAGUUCGAACCUCAAGGGUUUGUCGGAACCCACGAUCCGACAAAAACUAUGGCCCCCGGGUCUAUUUUUAUCAUAUUAUUUUCAGAUCUAUAAAAUCAAAACACAAAAAUAUCUUGCUACAAUUUAUUUACCUUUAUCUUAUUUUGCACUUUUACUUAUGUUUUAUAUCUAUCACUAUCAGAUCUCAUCCUUGCAAGUAACCGUGAAGGGAUUGACAACCCCUUUGUCGUGUUGGGUUCAAGUAUUUGUUUGUUUGUGUAGGUGCAAUCGUUGGUGACUUAUGUGUUCCUCCUACUGGAUUGAUACCUUGGUUCUUAACUCAGGGAAAUACUUAUCUCUACUUUGCUGCAUCACCCUUUCCUCUUCAAGGGAAAAAACAACGCAAGCUCAAGAGGUAGUAGGAAGGAUUUCUGGCGCCAUUGCCGGGGAGGAUCUACAUCAAGUCUACCAAGUACCUAUCAUAAACUCUCAUCUCUUUUAUUUACAUUAUUUGCCAUUUGCCUCUCGUUUUCAUCUCCCCCACUUUUAAAACAUUUUUAGAAAAACACAAAAAUAUUUGUGUUUUUUCGUAUGCCUUUUUGCUUCUUUGCUAUCUUUGCUUGUGUCGCCAUGUGCCUUCUAUUUGCUUCCAUCUUUGCUUGCUAAAAGUCUAUUGUUAUGGAUCUUCAUCCACUUGCUAAUCUUUUUAAAAGAUCCAACUAUGAUGAACUAAUUGCUAGUGAGUUGAGUGCACUAGAUUAUCUUUAUGAAGUUUUCCUUGAAAUUCAUGAAUCUGAAAAUUGUGAUGAAGUGCUAAAAGAGGAAAUUUAUGAAGUGAUUCACGAUAGCUCCUUUAAUGAAAAGCAUGAUUGCAAUGGUGUUAUUAUAAAUUCUAUUAAUGUCAAUUAUGCUAAUAAUAUGCAAAACCCCAAGCAAAGUACAUGAAACUUGUUGUACAACCUUAAGGUUGGACCAGAAAAGGGUUGAGGGUUGAGGGGCCUAAGUGAAAAAGUUCUUGAGAGGUUUGGGUGCUUCUCUUGUGUUUUGCACUAAGGUAGCUACUAUGUCAGAAUCAAGUCCAUAUUUUGCACUAAGCUUAUGAAAAACAUCUGUUUCUACAAAAGACUUAACACAAUCAUAUUCAAGAUUCAUACCUGACUCAUUACCUUUAUAGAUCUCCCAAUCUGCAGAAUUACGUUUUAUUCUUGAAUUCAAUACUUCUUUUUGAGAAAAACCAAUAGAAGAAGAAUCAAACACCGUUCUACCAUUAUGAGAAAGCCAAGCAUAAAAAGUUUUGAAUAAUCAUCCCUUGGGAGCUCAUGAUUGGGGCAUUUGAGCAUCAUAUCUUUAAGCUUUCCCCAAGCUUGAGCUAUACUUUCUCCUUCACGAGGCCAAAAAUUAUAUAUAAAAUUCCGAUCACGAUGAACUAAGUGCAUAGGAUAAUUUUUUUGAUGGAGUUCCAGCUUCUGUCUGUUCUAGUCUCAUGUUUAGGGUUCAACCAAUAGCCUAUACCAUGACAAUGCUCUUCCCUCCAAAGAUAAAGGGAAUAAUAUUUUCUUAGCUCCAUCCCCUGGUAAACCAGCAAGCUUAAACAAUCUACAAAUUUCAUCUAUCACUAGUACAGCGAGCUCCUAAACAAAUGGUUUUUAAUCCCUUUCCGCGACGACAUUUGGAACCGUCGCCAAGUGAGUGUGGGCGAUAGGGGGGUCCUUCCCACACGACCCAGAAACCAUCGGGGAUAUGCCCUCCUGGCACACAUGUUCGGCAAAAUGAGGUCGUGUGCGACCGGCGAGCGCUCAAAUACAGAAAUACGUAUAGUAGAGCUAAAAAUACAAUUAUACGGCGAAAUUGUUUCCGGUCGCAAGUACAUCCCACACAGUCAGUCCCCGCUAAAUGUUUCCAUUCAUAUGUACAUCCCACACAGUCGGUCCAUGGAAGAAACUGUGUGGCAAAGGCUGUCCAUCACACACAGUUUUCAUGUGGUAAACGUUUGCGCAAGGUGGCCUAACGCAAACAGUUUUCAAGAGAAAGUCGUGUGUGAUUGUUCAUUGAUCCAACACGGUUUAUUCCUAGAAACUGUGUGCGUUGCCUGAGGUCAUCGCCCACGGUAUUUUUUCAACAAUCGUUUGCAAUAGCAAAACCCAAUUAGCAGGCUAAUUAUCCGAUUAUUCAUAAUCCAUUUAUUAAUCUAAUUUACAGUUCAUAUUAAGCACAUAAUAUAUUUCAUUUUCAUAAUUGAAAUACAUCAGAGUACAACAUCAUAUAGCUUCAGCACUCAGCUACCCCAUUACACAACUACACCAGGACCAAGUUUCACAUGCAACAUCUAUAACCUUUCGAAAUUAGCAUCAUAGACGGUACAUAGACAGAUGUAUCUAACCUGGAAAACUACUGAAGCAGAAGGCGAAUAUUUAGCCUUCAUUGAUGUUGAAGGUCUUUGUAACUUUAGGCCAGUGCCUGUGGAUGAUUGACCGUCCAUCCUUCGUCCUCUUCAGGAACACUUCAAUAUUGAACCGUGGGUGUUGUAUGAAUACCUUCCUCGCCUCCUAACCAUACAGGUGGUUUGAGAGGUAAUCAUCAGUGAACUGCUUUGGAAAGGCCUGAAAACAAGGAUGUGCAUAAAUAUCUUCUCUAUAUUGGAAAUGGGGCAAAGGAAUAAAAAAGGCAAGGUAUAAUAGUUAGUACCAUCCUAUAGUGAACUGAUGUCUUCUUCAUUGUGCAGACAAAGAUCUUGUUGUUUUUUGUCGCUAAUUUCUUUAUCCUAACAAUCUUUCUGAGUUUCUUGACUUGACUGAUAUUCAUGGACAACUCAUUUCCCCAUAUGCAAAAAGGGUCGAACAGUGGGUCAAAACCUCUGACAGCAGGACCUACAUGUGCAAAACCAAAUUGUUAAAAACCUAAAUAUUAGAAUGGUUCCUGCAAUUGCACAAUAAUGUGCUAUUAGACAACGGACCAUGCACGUGCUAACCUCGAUUGUAAACCUCAGUGCUUCCCAUUGUUUCCCUGCAACACAUAUAAGGUAGUUAGUCAUCAUGUUAAGUAAGGGUUCGCAUGCUAUCAGUAAAAUAUGUUGAUGAAAAAUAAUCACAUUGCACAUUCAUCAGAUUAAUUGAAGCCACACGGAAAACCCAUUUAUCCAAACCAAGCAUGAUUAAGAACUAGGAAAUAUAGCACUUGUAUAUGUUUCUCAUGUAUUAAGUGCAGCCAAAUUUGAUUUAUUCGUCACAUGCACAACAAUACAAAAUUCUACCCACGACAAUUGGACAUCGCAUUGCAGAAUUGAACCAAGCAGUUAACUAAACACCACAACAAAUGAACCAAACAUUAACUGAGCACCACAUUGCACAAUAUAACAUACUCCUAAUAGAAGAUCGGACAGUUAACUACAGCCAAUUGUAGCAGUUGUAUUUGUUUCUCAUGUAUUUACUACAGCCAAAUUCAAUCUAUUCCUCACAUGGUAUACAAUAACAGAAUGCACCCACAAUUUUGUAAAGAUAAAUUCGAUUUAUUUCUCACAUGGAAGAAAAUACAAAAUUGCAGCCUGGAGAAUUGAACAUCACAUUUGCAGAAUUGAACCAAAUAGUUAACUAAAGACGACAACUAAUUAACAAAACAUUUAAUAAGUGGGCACCACACUGCAUGACAUAUAGAACAUAUAUACUAGAGCAACAGAUUGCAUGGUAAAAUUAGAUAGCACAAUUCACUAGAAUUUGUGAAGGAAAGGCAGGUGCAGCACACGCAAUGGGUAAACCGAGCAUGCUUAACCGGCGUAGCUAGCAAAUGGCAAGGUGCUACUUCAAGAUCUGGGGGUCGGCACGAAUGGCAGCCAUCACGACCUCAUCCGCGCGUGCGGCCGUGAUUUGCUUCUCCACUGCCAAAUGCUCCUUGAGGUCCUGGCUAUACUACGUGCACCAUGGCUUAGGCCAGCGCUUAUUUGGUGGAGGGGUCGGUGAUUUGGGUGGAAGGUGUCGCGCUCGCACCGGCGGUAUUGGCAUGUGGGAUGUGGAAGGAGGAGGAGGAUGGGGGUCUGGUGUGGAUUACUUGCCUGGAUAGGCGAGGACGAGGAGCGUGAAGGAGGGUCGUCGGCGAGGAGGCGGCGGCGCUGCAAGCAAGGAGUGAAGGUUUUAACUUGAAAAGGAAGGCGGAAAGAGGGGAAAUGUGCCUUUUCGUAAGGGGGAGGGGCGGGAAGGUAGAUAUUUCCGCGGAAGCCGAAAAUUUGGAAUCGCUUCAGCCAAAAAACUGGCGCGCAAAGUGUCAUCAGACACGGUCCCUUAUUCAGACACGGUCCCAAGAUAUUUUGUGCUGCAUCUCACACGGUUGGUUAUAAUAAACUGUGUGGGAUCUACUUGAUUUUUUGUCUUGAUUUGAAUUACAUAAUGGGGUCACAGUGGGCAUGGACGGUGUUUGAAUUGCUAGAGCUUUUAUCUGCAGUGAUCAUAAAAGAAUUGAAAUUAUUCAGGGUUUGUUUGGACAUUUUUAUGCAUUAAGUGAGUUUUCAAUGCAUUUAUGUGCAUAAUUCAAAUUUGAAAUACAUGCGCAUGCUCCAGUGCAUAUAAAUUGGUUGAAAAAUAAAAUCUGUGUCCUUUGGUGCAUGCUUAGGUCCCAUGCAAGAAAUGAGAAUGAAUUUCAAACACCAUGGCACCGUUGAUUGUCGGCAAAACAUUGAGAUGUCUGGUUUUUAAAUUCUAGUAAAUCCAAAACUUGUCUGAAAUUCAUGAAACUUGGCAUGCUAUCAUGGAGCGGCAUCAACAUGCAGUGGUACAAAUUUUUUCCCAUUUGGGGCAGAUUUGGGUAUAUGCUUCUCACAAACCGGAGCUUCUCACAACAAGCAUGAUGGUUUUCGGUAGGGAACGUCCCACCUUUGGGGACGAAACGAUAUCCGUUGCCUCUUAUUGCUUUCAAAAAAAUUUCUCGUGUCAACAUAGAACAACAGGAGUGUUGUGUGAAUUUUUGUGAUUUUUCAGGGUUCGUUUGGAUAUUUUUAUGCAUUAACUGAGUUUUCAAUGCAUUUAUGUGCAUAAUUCAAAUUUGAACUACAUGCGCAUGCUCCAGUGCAUAUAAAUUGGUUGAAAAUCAAAUCUGUGUCCUUGGGUGCAUGCUUAGGUCCCAUGCAAGAAAUGGGAAUGAAUUUCAAACACCAGGGCACCGUUGAUUGCCGGCAAAACAUUGAGAUGCCUAGUUUUUAAAUUCUAGUGCAUCCAAAACUCGUCUGAAAUUCAUGAAACUUGGGAUGCUAUCAUGGAGCGGCAUCAACAUGUCGUGGUACAAAUUUUGUCCCAUUUGGGGUAGGUUUGGGUAUAUGCUUCUCAUAAACGGAGCUUCUCACAACAAGCAUGAUGGUUUUCGGUAGGGAACGUCCCACCUUUGGGGACGAAACGAUAUACAUUGCCUCUUAUUGCUUUCAAUUUUUUUCUCGUGUCAACAUAGAACAACAGGAGUGUUGUGUGAAUUUUUGUGAUUUUUUUGGGUUCGUUUGGACAUUUUUAUGCAUUAACUGAGUUUUCAAUGCAAUUAUGUGCAUAAUUCAAAUUUGAACUACAUGCACAUGCUCCUGUGCAUAUAAAUUGGUUGAAAAUCAAAUCUGUGUCCUUGGGUGCAUACUUAGGUCACAUGCAAGAAAUGGAAUGAAUUUCAAACACCAGGGCACCGUUGAUUGCCGGCAAAACAGUGAGAUGCCUGGUUUUAAAAUUCUAGUAAAUCCAAAACUCGUCUGAAAUUCAUGAAACUUGGCAUGCUAUCAUGGAGCGGCAUCAACAUGCUGUGGUACCAAUUUUGUCCCAUUUGGGGGCAGGUUUGGGUAUAUGCUUCUCACAAACCGGAGCUUCUCACAACAAGCAUGAUGGUUUUCGGUAGGGAACGUCCCACCUUUGGGGACGAAACGAUAUCCAUUGCCUCUUAUUGCUUUCAAUUUUUUUUCUCGUGUCAACAUAGAACAACAGGAGUGUUGUGUGGGUUUUUGUGAUUUUUCGGGGUUCGUUUGGAUAUUUUUAUGCAGUAACUGAGUUUUCAAUGCAUUUAUGUGCAUAAUUUAAAUUUGAACUAUAUGCACAUGCUCCAGUGCAUAUAAAUUGGUUGAAAAAUCAAAUUUGUGUCCUUGGGUGCAUGCUUAGGUCACAUGCAAGAAAUGGGAAUGAAUUUCAAACACCAGGGCACUGUUGAUUGCCGGCAAAACAUUGAGAUGCCUGGUUUUUAAAUUCUAGUAAAUCCAAAAUUCUGUUAACCAUUGAAGUGACGCCACGUGUCUUGGUUUUAAUGGCUGUAGGAGGUGCCGUGCAGACAGCUGCUUGACCUUGACUGAACGGGAGGCGUGCGAGCGCCGUCCAGUGCAUAGGCUGACCGAGAGGCGUGCAAGCUCUCCUCGAGUGUGCAGGCUCACCAGGAAGCAUGUGAGUUGUAUGUUGCGCAGGCUCACUGGGAAGCGAGCCCUUUGACUUCCAUGGCUGCCCGCCUUGCUCGCAUCCUCUCCAUUAAUGGCGCCCAAGCCGCAGUUUAAUUCGCUUUUUAAAUAUAAAACACUCAUCGCAAACGUUUUAGUUAGAACACCCGUAUGCAAAUUGACAGCUUCCCCAGGAAGCCAAGAGAAAAUGUGCCGAGCAGGAUUUUUGCAGCUCUUGAUCGCAAACGAUUUAGAUAGAACACCCGUAUGCAAAGUGAGAGCAGCGCGGAAUUUGUUCAUCCCUUCAACGCAAACGGUUGUUUUGGAUGACCCGUGUGCAACCACGUACAAACAAUUUGGUAAGAUUUGCAUCUGUCAUAUUGGGUAUGUUGCCAUUUGUCAAACUAGAAAGAUUUACAUUUGUUGAUCUGGUAACGUUGCCAUUUGUCAAUCCUUGUAACACUGCGAUUUGUCAAAAUAUGCAGCUAGAAAUCAUUAGCACUAUGUAAUUUUUGCAACUAAAAUUCAGUAAUUAAGUAUAGAUUUCAUUCAUAGAUUAAGCAGUCGUUCUUAAUUUAUACAAACAGUUCAACUCGACAGCUGAACCGGCCAAACUUCUCCCCAAUUGUUGCCAACCACGUACUGAAAUAGCUAGUUCAACUAUAUAUACUAGAUAAUUUUAAGUACAUUGUACAGUUCGACCACACAUCUAUAGUCAGAUGAACUGAACAAAAUAGCCCCUAAAUAUUACUACUACCACGGAGGGGCUUUGUGCUACUUCCGGCAGCCUCUCCUCUGCCGAGCGCGCUCAGUAAGAGGCAGAGGAGGACGAGGAGCCUACCGACGAGCUAGGCAAAUGCAAUACGGUGCCUGUCGCUGCUGCAUGUUCAGCGACGCUCGCCAGCUCGAACGCCCACUGCCGCUCCAGACCAUCCCUCUCGAAGUGGCUGGACUGCUCAUAGAUCUCCUGAUUCCUCGCCUCUGCGUCGGCGUGUGCUGCGGCCACGGCUGCGGUAUGGCUCUUUGCGUGCUCGACGAGGCGCUCCUCCUCCCCUGUAGGAACUCGAUGUAGCGCGCAAGGUCGCUGACGCACGUCCGGGCCUCCACCUCCGCCUCCCUCCUUCGGGCGGCGGUGGCGGAGAGGGUGAUGAUCCCGGCGGUCGACGAUGGGCUAGCGGCCACGGUGGCCGACGAUGGGGUGGCGGCCACGACCACCACCUCCCGCCAUCGGGCCGCGGUGGCGGAGCGGGUGAUGGCCACGGUGGCCGGCAGUGGGGUGGCGGCCACGAUGGCCACCUCCCGCCUUCGGGCCGCGGCGGCGGAGCAGGAGAAGGCCCUAGCUUUCGACGGUGGUGUGGUGGCAACGGCGGCCGGCAACAUGUGCCGACGGGCAGUGGCGGCGGAGCAUGUGGUGGGUGUUCCGCGCACACCCAACACGCGCACUACACUACGCCGGGGACUGCGCCGCCGCGGUGUAGCCUCCCAGCUGGAGCUGUCCUCUGAUGACGGCGGAAUGGUUGAGCGUUGACGACGGACCGGUGCCAUUGGCGAUUGUGGGAGAAGCAGACGAGAUAAGCUACAGGGAGGGAGGGGAAAAUGCGACACGGGACUUGCCGGCCGUGAGGGUUUUUAUAGCAGGCCGGCAAGCAUUGGCAUUUUGGGGGAUUUCAUCAAGUCGGGCGGGAAGCUUGCACGGGAACCUGCAAGGUUGCGUGGGAACGGGCUCACCGACGAUUCAUUGGCGCCACCGUUUGGCCAAAAGAACGCCCCCGCUGCCGCAGAGCUUGCGCUAUAAGCCGUCUGCGGCAGCGGGGUGACAAGACGUGCGAGAGGAGGACGAGAGGACACGUACACAUACAGUUAAUAAAAAAUUGUUUGCGAUUUAAUUACCUGCUAUACCCCCGUCCUGGUUUAUAAGUAGGAUUUAACUAAUAAAAUACGAAUGCAUGUCGCCAUAGAUUAUAUCGUUGGAGUCGUAUUUGAACAUAGUUUCCAGCUAUACAAUUUUUGUAACAUGCAUUAACACUUUUUUGGUUAAAUUUAAGGUUAUACACCAGCAAGCAUUUGCCCGCAACACACACGGCUUAUUCCAUCACAAACAGCUCGGAUGGAUCAACUAUGUGCCACGUAUCGCACAUGCAACUCUAAUCUGAUUCGUGCUUGAUGUCUCCAACAUCGCUCGCACAGUUCGUCUUAUUUGCCACGUAUCACUGUGUCGUCCUCUGCUCGCGUCCCUCGGCAAGCUCUGCUCACCGUUAGGCACCGCAGCGCGCUGUGCUCGCCGUUAGGCGCCGCGGCGUGCUCUGUCACGUCCGUUGGCGCGCUCUGCUCGCGUCCGUCGGUGCGUUCGGCUUGUGGACAACUUUUCCUUGAGCCGACCGCGGAGCGCUCUGCUCGCGUCCCUCCGCGCGCGCUCUGCCAGCGGUUGGGCGUGCGCACGAUCACGUCGGGGGCCCCAUAUGCAUGCGGUUGCGUCGCGCGCGUUUCCACGCGAUGUAGUUACGUGCGGCACGAUAGAGUUACGCGCUGCAAAUUAGAACUGCCAUCAGGGCCUGCCGAUAUUCCUGGCCGUUCGGCUUCCCCUUUAAUUCCUGCGGCCAUUAUAACCUUAGUCUCUUCAACCUUCCGAUCGCGCCCCACAACACAACAAGCACACCCACGAUGACACAUAGAGAGCGGAUGUCCAGCGGCGCUCCAAUGGAGUUCGGCGAGCAUAGAGUGGAGAACCACGCGAGGGAGACGGAUCUCUCGGUGGUGUACACCUUCGACCCGACCAUGGUGGACAACUACAUCAACAGUGUUGAGCAGUUGCUUGCUCGAGACAAGUACAAGGUGGUCGGCAUCGACCUCCAGUACACCGUCGGUCGUCCCGGCAUAGAUCAGAAGGUUGUCGUCGCCCAGUUGUGCGUGCGCCAUCAUGUCCUCAUCUACCACUACUACAUGUCCACAGAGCCUUGCGACCGUUUUAACAGGUUUGUCAACAGCACCGACUACAAGUUCGCCACGGUGGAAACCAAAGACGAUGUAAAAGCGCUCAGUGUUACGGGCUUGGCCUGCAAGAACCUUGUCGAAAUCCGUGAGCACUAUAGGGUCUGGGGCAGCACGAAGCAGGACUCCUUGGUCGAACUUGCCUCGGCCAUCAUCGACCCCUACUACGAAAAGAUGAAGCAGGAUGCCCAGAGAACAAGUCCCAUAUCCUGGAACGGGGCCUGGAUGCGGCAACUAGAUGAACCUCACCUCAGGUUUGCGGCCAAGAGCGUGUACACAUGCUACGAGAUGCACAGGCGGAUCAUUGACAUGCGGAAGUGCCUCGUUACCCAAAUCGACGAGCCCGGAUCGAGCCACAAGCAGAGCAAGCGUCACAAGAAGUAGAUGAUGAUCAGAUGGUCGUUUAUGCUAGUUAAUCAUGCAUGUAAUAUAUAGUUUACUUUAUUGGUGUGUGUAGAAAUGUCAUGUGUGUAGUAGCCACCUAUGUAAUUAUGCAUGUAAUAGUUUACUUUGGGGUGUGCAAAUGCCAUGGUUGUACUAGCCACCUAUGUAAGUGGAUGUUUAAUUUGGUUAUGCAAGCAUGUCCUUAUAAGUGUGUGUAUAUAUAUAUAUGUUGUUGUUCUAUAUGCAAUCCCAUCGCACAACACACACGUCUUAUUAGCAGCAACCGUCUGUUUUAUUAUCGGUCUUCACAGACAUUUCUGAUUACAGACCUGUGUGCCGCGUAUCACACACAUCUUGUUAAGUUGAACCGUUUCUGUUCUCAUGUCUCAACGCAAACAGUUCAUCCGAGUGAAUCGCAUGCCAUAUAUCGCACACACCUUGAUCUGGCUGACCAUUUCUUUUGUGUUGCCUAAUCACAAACAGUUUAUCCGAGUGAACCGCAUGCUGUGUAUCGCACACGCCUUCAUCUGGCUGCCCAUUUCUUUUGUUCCUCCUCGUCACAAAUAGUUAAUUGAACUGAACUGUAUGCCCUUCAUCGCACACGCAACUAAAACCUGAAUCGUGUUUGAUGCAUCCGUCAUCGCAAACAUUUUACACAUUUCUGACGGUUUUCAUACAGUACCGUUUGCGAUUAUUGCAUCGCACACAGUUUCUCGAAGGGUCUCUGAUCGUAGUGUCGCGUUAGCAGCAUCCUGCAGUAGUGUAUAUAGAUUAAGUACACAUCAUGAUGUAUUGUUCCGUCUCCUGUACAAGUUUAGCAUGCAAUUUUUCCAUUACCAAAAGGGAUUUCAUAAUAAACAUUUUUAGUAGGUUGAGGAGCCUCACAAAGGAUUAUCUUCCAUAAUGACAAAUGAAGAUAAAAUUCUGCAUGUAAUAUAAAUAUUUCCUUACUAAAUCCCUCUUACCAAAAGCGCUUCACUCCCCGGCAACGGUGCCAUAAAAGAGUCUUGAUAACCCACAAGUAUAUGGGAUCAAUCGUAGUCCUUUCGAUAAGUAAGAGUGUCGAACCCAAUGGGGAACAUAAGGAAUUGAUAAUUGUUUUCAGCAUGGUAUUCUCUGCAAGUUCUGUAAAGUAGUAGUAACAGAUAAUUUGAUAGCAAGUAACAAGUUACCAAAGUAACAAGGUGCGGCAAGAUGGCCCAAUCCUUUUAUUGCAAAGGACAAGCCGAAAGUACUUAUAGUGCAAAGCGUUCUUGAGGACACAUGGGAAUUUCAUCUAGUCAUGUUCAUCAUGGUUCAUCGACUAGCGUUCACUAUUUUGAUAAAUUGUUAUGUGGGUGGACCAAUGCUAGGGUGUUGUUCUUACUUGAACAAACAACCCACUUAUGAUUACCCCCUCUUGCAAGCAUCCGCAACUACGAGAGAAGAAUUAAGAUAAAUCUAACCGUAGCAUGAAACAUAUGGAUCCAAAUCAGCCCCUUGCAGAAUAGUGCAUAAAGUAGGGUUUAAGCUUCUAUCACUCUCGCAACCCAUCAUCUACUUACUAAUCUGACAAUGCCUUCCCCAAGGCCCAAGCAUGGUAAUGUGUCAUGUAGUCGAUGUUCACAUGACACCACUAGAGGAAGAACAACAUAACACAUCAUUAAAAUAUUGAACGGAAAUCAACUUCACAUGGAUAUCCUAUAACAAGACUUCUCCCAUGUCCUCAAGAACAAACAGAACUACUCACAGAUCAUAUUCAUGUUCAUGAUCAGAGGAGAAUAAUAUAUGAUUAACAAUAUGAACAUAUGAUCUUCCACCAAAUAAACCAACUAGCAUUUACUACAAGAUGUAAUCAACACUACUAGUAACCCACAUGUACCAAUUUGAGGUUUUGGACAAAGAUUGAAUACAAGAAAUGAACUAGGGUUCGGAUAUGAGAUGGUUUUGGUGAAGAUGUUGAUGAANNNNNNNNNNNNNNNNNNNNNNNNNNNNNNNNNNNNNNNNNNNNNNNNNNNNNNNNNNNNNNNNNNNNNNNNNNNNNNNNNNNNNNNNNNNNNNNNNNNNNNNNNNNNNNNNNNNNNNNNNNNNNNNNNNNNNNNNNNNNNNNNNNNNNNNNNNNNNNNNNNNNNNNNNNNNNNNNNNNNNNNNNNNNNNNNNNNNNNNNNNNNNNNNNNNNNNUAGUGGAAUCCUUCCGCCAGAGAGCAAAAGUGCUCAUGCCAGGUUCCGUCUCGAUACGGCGGGGCUUCGUCCCGAAAGUAUUCUCUUGAUAUUUUUUUCCUACUGGUGGAACCACGAGCUCAAGUGGCGCGCCCCAGAGGGUCGGCGCGCCACCUGAGCUUAUGGCUCACUGGUGGGUCUCCUCUUGGAAUUUCUUCUUCCAGUAUUUUUUAUAUAUUCUAAAAUAAAUCUCCGUCAAAUUUCAGGUCAUUUGGAUCUACGGAGAAUAGCUAUCUCUGUUGUAGCUCUUUUCAUGUCAGAAUUCCAAUUGUUAGCAAUCUCCCUCUUGUGAUGAAACUUGCAAAUUAAGGGAGAAAAUGCAUUAAAAUUACACCUAAAAGUGAAACAUAGCUUUAAAAAUGGACGUAUCAGGCCUCUAGGCUCAUGUGGCCGCCCGCUAAUAUGCUUUAGCCUAUUGGGAAGGGGGGGCUGCCCAUGGUGCCUAGAAUAAUCCAAGGGGCUCCCGAUAAUUCUUCGAACCCUCCUAUAUUAUCAUUAGGUCUCUGGAACUUUUUCAACCUCCCGGUUUAACCCAAUUUUCUCUGAAGUGCUUUCGUUUUCCCUGAAACAAUUUCUCUUUUCUCUCGAAACAAUGUCUGUAAUCUCUGAAACUUUUCUGGUGAUAUUUUCUCAAACUCCUAACUCCAAUAGAACUCAGUAGAUCAUAAAACCUUAAGCGUGUGACCCUGCAGGUUCGGUGAAAUAUGGACACGAAAAUACUUUUCAUUCAAUGAUCAAUAGCGAAAGCCUGGACAUCCAUAUUGACUCCUAUACUCAGAUGAAUGAUAUUUGAGUGAACCUUUGGUUAUGAUAGAUAUUCUUUUUUCUUCAAGAUACUAUACAAAACACAAGGUGAGAUAUAUCGGCAUUGUUGUGGGUCAAACACAUUGUCACUAUGCCAGUCUCCUCGUUGCCGAUUUUGUUCUUUUUUCUCGUUCUCGUGUUUUGUCAUCCCCGUGAGCAAUUAACGAUGUGUCUGGCGAGACAAUGAGAGAUGUCGUCACACCGAGAGGGCCCUAAGAAUAUCUCUCCAUCGUUGGAUGAACAAAUCUCAGUCUCGAGUUGUCUAGCUCCUUGUCAUAUGUUUUCGAUAAACACGUAAGUUGCUGUUAUGAUCAUCCUGUUACGAAUGGCGUUGAAACAACCCCAAAGUGUAUCUUCCAGUAUGGAGUGACUCAAUAUUCUCAUGGUAUAAGAAAUUGUGCAUACGUUAACAUACCUGUUAUGGAUUAUAGACUUGCUACGGAAUCAUUUGCAAGUAUAACAUACAACUUCGGUCAAUUCAACACGAGUGGUCUUCUAACAUCGUGCCCUCAAUUUUGCUGGCGUCCUCAUUACAAUUGAACUCAUGACCAUGAUCAAGAAAACGAAACCAUCAUGGAACAUCUGAGCUAGUCCUAGAGGCAAAAUCUAUAUUACCAUUUAUUAUUCUACAUGUGCAUAUCAGUUUUCCUCUAAGCCUCAUGGUUAUCGCAAACUCAAGAGUCAUAGCAGUUAGAUCAUCGUAAACAUUUAAUUAUAAAGUUGGAAAUAAAUAAUAAACUUAUUAUUGUCUCUAGAGCAUAUUCCCAACAUGAACGUUUGCGUCUGAACUGUGUUAAAUUUAAAAAGUAAUCCCACCAAGCACCUAGAAACCAAAUGAUAAUUUGAAGGGUCAGAAAGAUAUGACAAGCAAACUACCCUCAUGGAUCCUUUGAUUCAAAGGAUUUUCAUACAAAUUUUGGAGUAUUAGAAUUCUUAGGAUUUGUUUCCUAUAUUGGUUGUUUGAUUCAUAGGAUUGAAUCCUAUAAAAAAAUUCUAAGGAUUUCUUUGUACUACUUUCUAUAGGAUUUGUAGCAUUCAGUCAAACAUCUUUAAAAGAAACCUUUGUUUUUCCUAUGAUGCAAUCAAACAAUCCAAAUCCUAUAGGAUUGAGAUGGACAUGCCAUUUCAAUCCUAUAUUUUUCUUAUUCCCGUGUUUUUUAAAUCCUGAGAAUCAAAGAGGUCCUAAAGAUGCCCAUAGGAAGGAAAGAGGUAAACAUGCGUUUAACAACUUGAGAGAAGAUAUGAGAUGUGGCGAGCUGCCGCGAAAGACGUCGAAUGGCAUCGAUCCCGGCGUAUUGGGCGGCGGGCAACCAGAUCAGGCGCGCUGAUGCUUGCCAAUAUGGAUUAGUAGAAUAGAAUAGAUAAUGCCUGAUGCCUGAUUUUCGCAACAACAACAAAAUGCCUGAUGCCUGAUGCCUGAUGCGAUGCGGCGUGUUUGGUUAGGAACUUAGGACAGAAGCCCUCUCGCGUGAUCUAUCUUCAGAUUCAGAUUCCGAUUCCUCUAGGGUGGAACUCGUACUAGACCGUCCGUCUUGCACUGUUGCACACGUACACACGAUCCACUUGCCGUUGCCGCAUGUGAGCCGUGGAUCCGCUGUGUGUGUCCCUUGCUAAUCCAAAAUUAUUCGUUAGGGGGUAGAAUUACUACUAACCAGCGCAAAGUAGGAGUAGAAUGUGAUAAACCAAAAGCAUAAGGUAUUCAGGGGAAGUUCAGGAUUACUAUUUAUUUUUAGAAUCUUUCAAGAAUACCAUUAGCUGGCACCCAUCAAUGACAGAGACUUGCAGAUUCGCGCCUAUGUAACCUCAUUAGGGAGCAAUUCGCCUUAACACACUACACAUCUAUUAACAAACCCUCCAGCUAGUUGACCUAAUUAGCUGAUCAUAAACUAUACUGCUGUGCAUGCAUCUGUCACCAAUUAUUGAUCAACCAAGUGAUCUGAAAGUCAUACCUACCUACGUAGUACGUGGGGUGGGGCUUGAAAGCCAUGAAGAAUUCAACUCAUCAGCUAAUAAUAGUUCUUGGCGUCUUCUAGCAAAAUUUUAAACAUUUAAUGAAAUCCUUUAUGACAAGGCCAGUAGAUACUAGAUCUGCGCUGUAGCCUCGUAGAAAUUUGCAAAAGCUCAACCAAUCCUUGUACUUGUACUGCAAAAUAAUUAUUUUCUUUGAAGCUGUCAGCUUCAGCAUAGCUCAUACAUACCUCAGAAUUUCUUAACAACGAGGAAAGAUGGUUGGAAUUGGCAUCUGAGGCCAAUUAGUUAAUUAUAAACUAAAUGUGGUUUGUUAAAAUAACGAUGAUAAUAAAUGAGGUAGAGAAUCGGUUGUACAGAGGCAGAAGAUAUUUGUCAAUACUGCGUACUUGUGUGGAACCCGGAUGUUUGAGUACCAAUACUGUGUGCUCUGCAUCUGGGUGGCAGAUCUUGAACGAAAUCCGUAAUCAUUCUUCAUCACACGACUACUUGGACGACUACAAUGAGCCAUCGUCACAACUCACAAGUAGGAAAAUGGCCGAUGUCCCGGUAGUACCAAUUUGAGAUCAGCCCAAUGAUUUUAUCCGUAGGAGUGCACAGGACAAUGGCUGUGUGCAUCAGUGGCGGUGGGUCAUCCUGCAUUUCGAUUUUCUUUACACAAAACAGCUUCGUUGCAGUAGUCGCAUUGGAUGCAUAGUCCAGACCACUUGCCUCGGUGGGAGAUGCUAUUCCUGAUAGCAUAGAGCAGUUCCUGAAAUUGUAGGACUGCAAAGUUGCUGAACGGAAUACGGAGCACCUCGCUGGCGCGUGAUCAACACGCGCAUUCGAUCAUAGGUCGGUUGAUCGCGUUCCUCCGUCCAUCCAUCUGCAAUUCUAGACAUCAUCUAUCUCUCCGGCAUACCUUCUGAGAAGACGAAACAAAGCAGCCAUUGACCACUCAGGGCCAGGGCAAGGAGGGAGGGAGGCGACGGGGACGUGGAAGCGUGGCCUCGCAUUUUUAACGAGAGCGACGUGCCGUCGGCCGUUGCUCUCAGGCUCCGUAAUCCAUCGGCCGGGAUUCUGCACCGAUCGAUGGCGAAACCCUCUGCGCGGCUACCCGACUUGCCAAAGGUCACAGCUGCAAGAGAAUGAUUUGGUGCAUCGAUAAUUGAUUGAUCGUGCACUAGGCACAUAUAUAUAGGUACAAGGAGUGUGACCGGUAUCUUCUCUUAAGAUACACGUAUAUACAGAGGGAGACAGAUACUACAGGUACUGCAUACAGAAUCCAGACCUACGUACAUGUACACAUGUUCAACACCCCCCCCCCCGGCAGUUGAAGCGUCGCCGGUGACGCAAAGACUGGACCGAAAGCCCUCGAAAGUCGAGGUGGGUAGUCCCUUCGUCAUCACAUCGGCGAACUGCUGAUCGGUGGGCACAUGUAGAACACGAACACGGCCAAGUGCGACGUGCUCCCGGACGAAGUGGAUGUCGAGCUCAAUGUGCUUCGUCUGUCGGUGAUGGACAGGGUUGGCAGCGAGGUACACCACGGAGACGUUAUCACAGUAGACGAGCGUCGCCUUGGUGACCUCACAUAGCAACUCCUGGAGUAGCUGUCGUAGCCAGGAACACUCCGCGACGGCGUUGGCCACGGCCCGAUACUCGGCCUCGGCGCUCGAUCGUGAGACCGUGGGUUGUCGUUUAGACGACCACGAAAUCAGAGAGGGCCCGAGGUAGACGCAGUAGCCGGAAGUGGAGCGUCGAGUGUCGGGACACCCAGCCCAGUCGGCGUCGGAGUAGGCGACAAGGCUGGUGUCUGGCGAGGCCGUCAGGGUGAGACCCAUGGCUGUGGUGCCACGUAUGUACCGAAGUAUACGUUUCACGAGAGCCCAAUGGGUGUCACGAGGAGCAUGCAUGUGAAGGCACACCUGCUGGACAGCAUACUGAAUGUCCGGACGCGUCAGUGUGAGGUACUGAAGCGCACCAACGAUGGAGCGUUAGAAGGGAGCGUCGGACGCCGGAGAGCCCUCGACGGCGGACACCUUAGCCUUCGUAUCGACAGGCGUGAAAGCAGGCUUGCAGUUAAGCAUGCCCGCUCGCUCCAGAAGCUCGUAGGCGUACUUCUGCUGGUGCAGGAAGAAGCCAGUAGCCCGGCGCACUACCUCGAUACCGAGGAAGUAGUGGAGAGCCCCCAAGUCCUUGAGGGCGAACUCUAUGCCAAGGCGAGCUAUGAUCUGCUGAAGAAGCGCUGGCAAGGACGCGGUCAGGAUGAUGUCGUCGACGUACAGUAGGAGGUACGCGGUGGCGGGGCCAUGGUGGUAGACAAACAGGGAGGCAUCGGACCGUGCGGACCGGAACCCCUGUUGCUGGAGGAAGGCCGCGAUCCGCUGGUACCAGGCCCGAGGUGCCUGCUUCAACCCAUAGAAAGAACGGGAGAGCAAGCACACGUGGUCCGGAUAGUCGGUGUCGACGAAACCAGUCGGCUGCUGACAGAACACCUGCUCGUCGAGAUGGCCAUGCAAGAAAGCAUUAGACACAUCGAGCUAGUAGACAGGCCAAGCGCGAGAAACAGCAAGCUGGAGAACAGCGCGAAGCGUGCCCGGUUUAACAACCGGGGGGAAGGUGUCGGUGAAGUCCACGCCGGCGCGCUGGCGAAAGCCGCGCACCACCCAACGCGCCUUGUAGCGCUCGAGAGAACCGUUGGGGCGAGUCUUGUGGCGGAAGACCCACUUGCCAGUGAUGACAUUGGCACGGGGUGGCCGCGGAACAAGCUGCCACGUACGGUUGCGCUGCAGGGCGUCAAACUCCUCACGCAUCACAGCUAGCCAGUUCGGAUCCCGAAGGGCUGCGCGAGCGGAGGUGGGAAGCGGGGGCGGCGUCGAGGUAGAAGCCGCGCAUGCGUACUCAUCCGACGAAUAGCGCGUGCUGGGACGCAAGGUCCCAGUCCGAGCCCGAGUGACCACACCGGUGAGGGGUGCGGCCACGGCGACGGGAGCCGCCAAGGGAGCCGCGGCGGGGCCGGACGAGGGGGCCACGGCGACGGGGGCCGCGGCGUCGGGGCCGCGACGGGGGCCGCGGCGGGGGCGGCUGAGGAGGCCGCUGCGUCGGGGGCCGCUGCAGGGGCCGCAGCGCCAGGGGCCGCCGGCGUGGGGAGCGCGGGCAGGGCCGAACCCGGGGCGCGGCUGGGCGGUCCACCAGAGGUGGAGGCAGGGACGAACCGCGCCACAGGAGACUCCGAGGGUGACGGUACCUGCUGAAACGGGAACACGAGCUCAUCCAAGUACACAUGCCGCGAAGUGAAAACACGGUGGGAGACUGGAUCAUAGCACCGGUAACCUUUGGUGUUGGGAGGAUAGCCAAGGAAGAUGCAAGGAAGUGACCGGGGCGCGAGUUUGUGAGGAGCAGUGGACGCGGUGCUAGGAUAACAGAGACACCCGAAAAUGCAAAGACCAUCAUAAGAUGAAACCGCACCAAAGAGGAGCUAGUGAGGGGUGUAGUUCCAGCGGGAACGACAGGGGCGAAUGUUAAUGAGGAGGCUGGCGGUCGCGAGCGCGUCUGGCCAGAACCGAGCAGGCACGUAGGAGUGGAAGAGCAACGUGCGGACACAGUCAUUAAGCGUGCGAAGGACGCGCUCGGCGCGACCAUUCUGCUGAGACGUGUAGGGGCAAGUGAGGCAAAAGAUGGUGCCGUGGGCCGCAAGUAAAUUGCGGACGGUGACGUUGUCAAACUCCUUGCCGUUGUCAGUUUGCAAGGCGAGAAUAGGACGACCGAACUGUGUGGUGACAUAUGAAUAAAAAGCGGUGAGUGUGGCAAGAGCGUCGGACUUGCGACGGAGAGGGAAGGUCCACACAUAAUGAGUAAAAUCAUCCAAUAUCACCAGAUAGUAUAAAUAGCCCGUGUUGCUAGCAACCGGGGACGUCCAAACAUCACUAUGCAAUAACUGAAACGGAAAGGUGUGGAAAUGUUUGUAGACUCGCUAAAGGGAAGACGAACGUGCUUGCCUAGACAGCAAGCCUCACAAGUGUGAUCGUCGACCUUAUUACAUGAGAAGGAAAAACUCUGAAGAAUCUGACGCAUAACGGUGGAGUUGGGAUGACCGAGACGGGCAUGCCAAAGAUCGACACUGGCGGCGAAGGCGGCGGGGCGACGAAUGGUGGUCGCGCCGGAGGGAUGCACUGGGUAAAGCUCGCCCGGGCUAUCACAUCGGUGGAGCACCAUCCGUGUACGGGCGUCCUUCACAGAAAAACCGAUAUCGUCAAAUUCAACAGUUAUAGGAUUCUCACGAGCAAGGCGACGAACGGAAACAAGAUUAGUGACUAAGUCAGGAGACACAAGAACAUUAGACAUAUGCACAGGAGUGGAAGUAGAAGGAAAAGCCAUAUGGCCAACGUGAGUAAUGGGUAGGGAGGAACCGUUACCAACGGUGAUACGGGUGGGAGUAUGAACGGGAGUGGCAGAUGUGAGGUUACCGGGAUGAGCAGUCAUGUGAGCAGUGGCGCCCGAGUCCAUGUACCAGUCACCACCGCCACCAUAUGAGCUCGGUGACGGGGCGGAGUGCAGUGCAGCGAGCAAGGCCGGGUCCCACGGCGGCGGCACCUGAGGAGGGUAGAACCCUCCGUAGGCCGGCGCGGGAGCAGCCCCGAAGGCCGAAGCAGGGGCGGCGCCGUAGGCGGGCGCGGCCCCAUAGGCCAGCGCGGCGGCGGCGCCAUAGGCCGGCGCAGACCCGUAGGCGGGCGCCGGCGGGGGGGCACCAUAGCCGCUGUAGGGAGCGGCGUUCUGCGCGGCGAAGAGGGCCUGGUGACCCGCCGGGCGGGGCCCAAGGAUGCCCGGAGCCGGAGCCCGAGGGACCGACAUGGUGUACGCAUGGNNNNNNNNNNCCACCUGGCUGCUGGGGGGCAGCGGGAGGGGCGGGAGGCGCGGGCGGGAGGGGGAAGUACCCCGGAGGCGCUGGUGGCGGCGGCUGCUGGCGCGGCGCAGGUGGGGCGGUUGGUGGAGGGGCGCCGCGGGAGGUGCCGGCCGCGAGGGCGUGGUGCUGCACACGCUUCUUGACCCCAUUCAUCCGGCGCUCCUCCAACCUCAAGUACGCAACAAACUUGGGGAAGGAGGGCUCCGGCAUCAAGGUGAGGUUAGAGGCGGCGUUGCCGAGGCCCGCGGUGAGCGUGCUGAGGAGGAGGUCGUCGUCCACCUUGGCUCCAAUGUCACGGAGCUCAUCCGCCAACGUCUUCAGGCGGCGGCAGUAGUCAUCAAUGAACUGUUCAUCCUGGUGACAGUCAAAAAAUUCCUGCUGCAAAAAUACGCAGCGCUGAAGCUUGUUGUCGGUGAAGAGGCCGUCCAGCUUGACCCACAUGGCGCGGGCGUCGUCGCCGGCGCUCACGACCGUGUGGAACAAGUCCUUGGAGAUGGUGGUGAAGAACCACCGGAUGAUCGUGGCGUCGAUCGCGGUCCACUCGGCGUUGUCACCAUGGCGCGGGAGUCCACGGUGCCAUCCACGUGAUCCACGAGAUUGUUCUCGCGGAAGAGCAGCGUGAAGUACAUCUUUCACGCGAAGUACUCCCUCCGUAAACUAAUAUAAGAGUGUUUAGAUGACUACUUUAGUGAUCUAAACGCUCUUAUAUUAGUUUACAGAGGGAGUACGUGGAGUUGGAGGUGUCGAGGAUCACGGGGACGCGUGCAUGGACGUUGAUGUCGCGGAUCUCGACAGGGUUGACGGCGAAGGGGUUGGCGUAGGUGGAGGCGUUGGAUGACAUGACGAUGAGAUCGUGGGGAGGGAGGCAGGCGGUGCGGCGGGAAGGGGCGGCGCGGCGNNNNNNNNNNNNNNNNNNNNNNNNNNNNNNNNNNNNNNNNNNNNNNNNNNNNNNNNNNNNNNNNNNNNNNNNNNNNNNNNNNNNNNNNNNNNNNNNNNNNNNNNNNNNNNNNNNNNNNNNNNNNNNNNNNNNNNNNNNNNNNNNNNNNNNNNNNNNNNNNNNNNNNNNNNNNNNNNNNNNNNNNNNNNNNNNNNNNNNNNNNNNNNNNNNNNNNNNNNNNNNNNNNNNNNNNNNNNNNNNNNNNNNNNNNNNNNNNNNNNNNNNNNNNNNNNNNNNNNNNNNNNNNNNNNNNNNNNNNNNNNNNNNNNNNNNNNNNNNNNNNNNNNNNNNNNNNNNNNNNNNNNNNNNNNNNNNNNNNNNNNNNNNNNNNNNNNNNNNNNNNNNNNNNNNNNNNNNNNNNNNNNNNNNNNNNNNNNNNNNNNNNNNNNNNNNNNNNNNNNNNNNNNNNNNNNNNNNNNNNNNNNNNNNNNNNNNNNNNNNNNNNNNNNNNNNNNNNNNNNNNNNNNNNNNNNNNNNNNNNNNNNNNNNNNNNNNNNNNNNNNNNNNNNNNNNNNNNNNNNNNNNNNNNNNNNNNNNNNNNNNNNNNNNNNNNNNNNNNNNNNNNNNNNNNNNNNNNNNNNNNNNNNNNNNNNNNNNNNNNNNNNNNNNNNNNNNNNNNNNNCGGGGAGGAGGGGUGGUGGCGGCGGCUUGGGGCGGCGGCGGCGGCGGGAGGUCGCGGCGGCGGCGGCGGCCCGAGGCGGCGGCUAGGGUUAGCGGAAGCUGAAAGAUCGACUUGCGAUAGAUAUCAUGUAGAGCAUGAUUUGGUGCAUCGAUAAUUGAUGGAUCGUGCACUAGGCGCAUAUAUAUAGGUACAAGGGGUGCGACCGAUAUCUUGUCUCCUAAGAUACACGUAUAUACAGAGAAAGACAAAUACUACAGGUACUGCAUACGGAAUCCAGACCUACGUAUAUGUACACAUGUCCAACAACAGUAAACAUAAACUGCCUCGGCGGAACAGCCAGGGCAACGUCAGGUAUCGGAGAGGGACUGGCGGGCCGGCGCCCCGCAAAUUGGAGGCAAGCAGCGGCACAAAAGUUUUCUUUUUUUAGGAUUGGGCACAAAAGAUUUAGGAAUGGUGGUCACCGUCUGUCUGUCUUUGCGGUGUCACAAAAGAUUUAAGACCUGCAAAUCCGGAAGACGUGUGCCGCGCGUCAGUACAUGCUGCUUGUACCACUGUCUUCUUGCACACCUCAGGAGUAUUGGUUAUGCAGCUAUAGCUCAACGGCUCAAUGUUUAGUGCACAAGAAAAGAAUGAAAGCUUUGAGCUGCAGUCCUGUGAUUCAAACAGUUCGAGAAUUCACAUGUUCAGUGUGAAUGUCAAAAAUGGUCGGGUCUACGCUUGUUUGCGAAUUGCUGGUGGUUAAAGGAAUGAUGCCCCACCAAUGUCAUUGCAGGGGGUCGUUACUGCAAAAUCUUAACGAGAUGUGAUGCUCUGUUAAUGAUCAAUAAUGUAACAGGAGAUAUUUUUGUGGCUACAAAGAUCCAAGUGGAAGAGUGGUGGUAUGACAAAUUUUGCUUUCUUUCCAUCAGAUCUGCUACACUUCACUUGCCCACUGGUGCACUGAAAGGUUGCCUAAUUUUAGGGGCCGUUAUACCUUGUCAUGUCAUACUAGCUAGUUGGAGGGCCAGGGCCAAAUGUGCGUACCUGCAUUCGCUCAGCCUAACCUAAAAGAGCAUAUACGGUAAUUAGAAAACUCAUGUGAUUUAAGUAGUGACGGCCGACUCAGAUAGUCAUAAGUAGUAGCUUAGUUUAAGCAGUACUGUAUUUCAUGAGAUUGUGUGUGUGUCCCCCAUCACACUAAUCUAUCCUUCGAAGACCACAGUUGCAUAUGCGUACUUGUUUUAACGAGGGGUUACAAUAUCUGAAAGUUACGUUUGCCGGUUCAAGCAGAAUGUCCUGCCAUACUUGAACACUUCAGGCAGGGUGUGGCAAAUCCUGAUUUUCUUCUCCUCUGUGUACAAUCAUGGAUUUCUCCUUUGUGGAGUGGAGAGGUUGUACGAGGGUUGCCUGUCACUCUGAAUUCCCGGCGGCAUGCAUUUCAGAAGUACUUAGUCAAGCUCAGCACAGCAACGUUCAGAGUUGCGUGAGCAGACACUGAUUGUCCAGCGAUUCUCUGAAAUGCCUCCGAUGCUACAACUAUUGCGAUACCGAGCAGUACUACGAAGGGAGCCUAUGAUCAUAGCUCACCCCGGGCAUAAAAACCGAAGACCGAAAACCGAACCCGAAAAGACCGAGACCGAACCCGAAAAGACCGAACUAAAAAAGACCGAAUAAACUUUGGUCUGCAAAACUACAUGACCGAAUUUAAUACGGUCAAAUCGGUCCUCUACCCUGCAGGACCGAAAAGACCAUAUAGACCGAUCUAUUUUAAAAGCCCACACGCACAACAAUGUUUACCUAAGGCCCAACUGGCUAGCCCAAUCCUCACGAGCGAGACACUACCUCACCUCCUCCCGACGAGCGACACAAAGGCACGAACCGCAGCCUCACUCUCGUUCCUCCCCCUUCUCUGCCAAUGACCAACCCUAGCCGCCGCUAAGAGACCAGGCCCCGUGACGACCGCCUCCCCAAGGAGCGCUCCGAUCCGCGGCCGUGACCGGUGAGAUCCGCGCCGAUCCGCUGCCGUGACCGGUGACGACCGCCCGGCAACCCAACCUCCCGUACAUCGCUCCACAGCCUGCGAAUCGCCAUCCGCCAGUGGUGCUUCAGAUCCCUUCCCCUUCCACGCUGCUGCACUGGCGUCAAUCCGUCGCCACUGUCUCUUCCAAGCUGGCUGCCGCCUACUCUCCUUUUCCGGUGCUUUACCUCACAGCUGAAGCUUGAAGAUGAGCAAGUGACUCUUAUGUAUGUGCAUGAGUGCAUCAGAUCGGCCAAUAAUGCCUAAGUGCAGAGCCUUGUGUCAUGUCCAGAUUAUUGAAUGUGUGUGUACCUAUGUUAACACAUACUUAUGUAUGUGCAAAGCUAUAUUGUUCAGAAUUUGUGAUGUUAGCCUGUUACAUACUUUUGUUGUCUAACACUUGUCUAAUUUUUCUUAUACACACACGCACCUCUAUACAUACAUUUGUUGUCUCAAUUUUGCAUAAAUAAAUAUGUACAGAUACUGGAAGUAAUGUAUAUGAAUCUGAGUUGUGUCACUAAAUUUGGUCUGUUUGGUCGGGACCGAACAUUGGUAUGUAAAGACCAAAGACCGAAUAGUGGAAAAUCGAAAAGACCGAAAUUAUUUCGGUCUUCAAUUAUGGAAGACCGAAUUCUUGAAAGACCGAAAAGACCGAACCGAACAAACCGAAAAGACCGAACGCCCAGGCUGAAUCAUAGCAGUGUCAGUGCAUUACUUUUUUACGGGCAGUGCUUAGUGUUUGUGGAGCUUUCCGCUGAAGGGCGAGUUCACAGAACGAUAACGUUCCAUCCGCGAGAAAGGACGGCACGUUGGAGGAAGAAAAGCUGGCAGUCGGCACAGAUCCCUCCAACCCGACAGACAAAAACAUUCCCUGUACGCGACACCAUAACCACAUCUCCGAUUGAAACUGCAGAUGCAGUAGCACGUCCAGUCGCGCGGUCACAGCCCCCCGUUUAGCACAUGAUUUGAUUCCAGAGAAAAGAAGCGAUCCAUCUUGUUUUUGUGUCGUCUCUGUCUCUGCACACACAGAUCAUAUCAAUGGAUGCCCCCUCCCGCAUCAGCUGUGACCUUCACUUUCCCAAAGACAAUUCCUUCCACAGUGCAUUUUUUUUACGGAACCACACAGUGCAUUUUUUUUCAGAAGAGGCAUAAGAUUUGCCUCAUCAAUUAAAUAAGGAGAGAAUAGAGUUUAGAGUUUUACAACACCCACAAGUACGGCAUGGCAAUUACUCGCCCACAACAAUAUCUCCUAAUUUCUUUGCGCCCCCGGUCAUCCAAAGCUUGGCCUCGUCGAGGAUGGCGGUGAGAAGGAUGGUCGUUGGCGCACUCUUAUGACGAAACAUCCGUGCAUUUCUUUCAUUCCAAAUGCUCCAGGAGACAAGCAUGGUGAGAGAGGCCAUAGCUUGCUGGUUGGGGUUGCGAUUGUCGGUUCCCUUGUCCCACCAUUCGUAGACGGGUUCAUCUAUGUGCCACUCGGAUGUAUCUAUGUGCGCGAGACUAAGCCUCUCAAUGAGAGACUUCCAUACCUGAAUUGUAAAGCGGCACUUGAAGAAAAUGUGGGCACUCGUUUCUUGCUCCCUAUUGCAAAGUUUGCAAAGGCCACAAUUUGGCCAACCUCGUCGCUGUAAACGAUCGGCGGUCCAAAUCCUAUCUUGUAUUGCCAACCACGCAAAGAAUUUAACCUUUGGAGGUGCCCAUGCCUUCCAAACCAUACGGUCUAAGGGGGAAAGAGUCAAGCCUAGAAAUUGAGCCUUGUACGCAGUGGCCGCCGUGUAUAUCCCGUCGUUCGCGUGCUUCCAGAUGAUGGUAUCUUCGGUUUGCUCAUGAAGGUGGACAUCAUUCAGGAGCAUCCAAAGAGUGAAAAAUUUCCGAAUGUGGGCGGCAGUUACAACCGCGACUUGGUUGAUCUUGAGUAUCAAGCGUUCCCCUUGAGAGCCUCACAGACCUUCCAACUCUUUCUUUUCGAGGCCUCGAAGAUGAGCAGUGCAAUAUCCUUAGGUUUGCGACCAAGGAGCCACGGGGAGUCCCAAAAAGGCGUUUUGGCGCCAUCUCCCACUGUGAUAGUCGUAGAAGCAUAGAAAAACUCGAAAUCCUCGACGGUGCAGGGGUUUCCUAGGCCAACCCAUAAUUUGCGGGGCUCGUUCCAUUCAUACCACAACCACCGAAGCCGCAAAGCACGCGCGAAUUUGUCAGUGUUGAGCACCCCCAGGCCACCGUAUUCUUUUGGUCUACAAACCACCUUCCAGUUGACCUUGCAUUUGGCUCCCGUUGUCUUGUCCGCACCAGACCAAAGGAAAGCCCUCUCGAUUUUGUUAAGGCUAUCGAGGGAGCCCUGAGGCACGACGAGGGGCGUGAUGGAGAACACCGCUUGGGAGGAGAUGACCGACCUAACAAGAGUCGUACGACCGAUGGAAGUGAUGUUUUGGCCCUCCCAGGAAACCAAUUUUCCGGACGCCUUAUCCUCAAGGUAUUGGAAAUCCAUCUUCUUAACUUGCCAAACUGAAAGUGGGAGGCCUAGGUAUUUGAUCGAAAAAAGCGGUCUGUGUUGCCGGCAUGCUCUGAAGGAUUUGCUCAAGGUCAAGGUGGUUGCAACGAAUAGGCACAACCGAGCUUUUUUGGAAGUUGGAGCAAAGGCCCGUCACGUCCCCAAAGCCUCUCAGGAUAGAGGUGAGAUUGUCGAUGCCCCGUUUGAUGGGAACCAUAAAGACCGCCCCAUCGUCCGUAUAGAGGGAGCUACGCACCAUGGACCCACGACCACGGAUCUUGUGGAGGAGCCCUUUCCUCGUCACCAUGUCAAGGAUCUUAUGCAAGGGUCAAUCGCAAGGAUGAAGAGGAGGGGGGGAAUGGGGUCCCCCUGACGGAAUCCGCGACCAUGCUUGACCGGUGGGCCGGGCAACCCAUUUAACAUAAUCCGGGAUGAUGAAGAUGAUAACAGCGCGGCAAUCCAAGCCCGAAAUUUUGGGGGGAAUCCCAACGGUUGGAGAAGCUUGAGGCAGUAUCCCCACUUGACUGAGUCGAGUGCCUUCUUUAUAUCAAGCUUGAAGAGGAGAGCGGGCGUUUUGCAUUUGUGUAGACGUCGGGCGAAAUUCCGAACAUACAUGAAGUUGUCGUGGAUACUUCGCCUUUUGAUGAAUGCACUCUAGGCGUUGGAAACAAGAUCAUCCAUGUGGUGGGGGGGGGGGGCAAGUCGAAGUGAGAGAAUCUUGGCAAUGAUUUUAGCGACGGCGUGGAUGAGACUAAUGGGUCUAUAAUCAGAGAUCUCUUCCAUGCCAUCCUUUUUUGGCAGUAGAACCACAUUGGCAGAAUUUAGCCACCGAAGGUUGGAGGUGUGCAAUGAAUCGAAGCAUUGGAUGACCCUCGUGAUCGAAAUCUUGAUGAUUCCCCAACACUUCUUGAAGAACGUCCACGUGAAUCCAUCCGGACCCGGCGCCUUAUCGUUUGGCAUCUCCUUUAUAGCCUCCCAAACCUCCUCCUCGGUGAUGGCGGAGUCGAGGUCUUGCAAAGCAUGGCUCUCGAUGCCCAAUUCCUCACAGUUGAAGUCGUUGUUGCUUGUGCUUGCCCGACCCAUGACCUCGGAGAAGUGGUUGUGGAUGAUCUUCUCCUUUUCCUUGUGCUCGGUCACCCAACCCUGUGCAUGCUUUAAUCGGUGAAUGUUGUUUUUUCGCCUACGUGCAUUGAUGCGGCGGUAGAAGAAUUUGGUGUUGGCAUCACCCUCCCUCAUAUUUGUCAACCUAGCACAUUGGUGUUUUCGAGCCCGCUCAAGGACCGCCAAGCUAACCACUCUUCGCUUGAGUCUAGCACGUAGGUCCUGUUCCGCCGGGGAAAGGGUCCUACUCUCCUGCGCAAUAUCCAAAUGGAGGAUCACAAGGUGAGCCGCAUGAAGUUGGAUCUUGGCCUUGGAGAAAAAUUUCUUGCUCCACUUAGUAAGUCGUAUCGCGGUUUGACAGAACGUGUGGGUGCAAUAAUCGACGCGAGCUGCAAGUGCUGGACGUGGGAAGCACGGUCGUCAUUGUAGCACUUUGUUGUACUCCCUCUGUAAACUUUUUUUAGGGUUUUCUGUAAAUUAAUAUAAGAGCGUUUAGAUUAUUAAAAUAGUAAUCUAAAUGUUGUUAUAUUAGUUUACGGAGGGAGUAAUCCUUGUGACCCUUCUGAUCGAUGUUAACAAAUCUCGUGCAUUCCUCUGUGAUGACACACGAGAGAGCAUGGUGGUCAACUGGAGAAGUCAUAUGAUCAGUGCCCGACAGCUAUGUGUCGACCAUACCGAUUCAUAAUAAAAAUCACCUGCAUGCGACCAUAGUGGGCUGGCCAAUUUAAUUCGCCCGGUCGCUGCUCCUCAUAAUUGUCGCGCUCUUUUCCUUUUCCUUUCAUUUUUCAUUGGUUUUCUUUGGGUCAUUUCUAUCUUUUUACUAUGAUUUUUUAAAUUGUUUUCUUUCUUCGCUUUUGAAUUUUUGUUUCUUUGUUUCUUUUUUGUUUUCUUUGGUUCCUUUUCGUUUCUUUGUUGGCUUUUUAUCGGGUUUCUUUCUUUUGAACACAUGUAUACUUUCUCUCGGUACAAAAUGUACAUUUUUAGGGCAUGCAUGAAAUACUUUUUGAUACGCGUUGGACAUUUUUCAAAUAUACAUGGCAUAUAUUUUUUAAUACAUGAUUGAACACUUUUUUGAAUACAUUGUUUUAUAAAUAUAUGUCGUACAUUUUCAAAUGAAAAUAAAGGUUUUUUUCCAAAUACACCAAAAUUUUAUUUACAUUGUAUAAACAUUUUAUAAAUUUUCACGGACAUUUUUGGGAAACAUACAAAUUUUUAUUAAGUGCCAUGAUACAUUUUUAAUGGAAAUAAAUAUUUUUCUAACCAAUGCUAACAUUUCUUUACAUUUUUAUAAAAUAGUUUUUUAAGUUUCACGAUUUUUAGCAUUAAAUAUUUCCAUCAAAUGUGAUGUACAUUUAUUAAUGGCACGAAACCUUUUUUUACAUUAUGAAAAUAUUUUUCGUACACAGGAUUAACAUUUUUCAGACACAUAAUUAAUAUUUUGUAUUUUUUGAUUCACAUUGUACAUUUUUAGUAUACAUCAAAAACAAAUUUUAUAUACAUGUUUAACAUUUUUCAAAUGCAAGACUAGCAUUUUUCAAACAAAUGGUUUUUGUACCAUACAUAUAUUUUAAAUAUUUUGAAAUAUAAAUAGAAGUUUAAAAAUAAAUCAAAUAAAUAGAAACAAAAAUGCGAAUAAAAGACGGAAGAGAAAAUCUCGACAUGACACCAUGGCUAUUGGGCGGUCCAAUACUUGCUCCCUGUAGGCGAGCCCUGGUAGGACUCGUGCGGGCGGCACCGGAACUCCUAUAUGGCGCGCCACGCGCUGGGAAAUCCCAUAUGGGGCCGGCACUCCGCCUUUUUUUUCCGUCUUUUCCUUUUCGUUUUUUCUUCUUUUUUUCAAUAAUUCAGGAUAUCAAACAGCUUACAAAUUUCAGUAAAAUUUGCAAUUUUGAAAAAAAACAAUCAUGAUUUCGAAAAAAUAAAUAUUAUUUUAAAAAUAUGCUCGGGAAUUCAAAAAAUGUUCAUGAAUUUGUAAAAAAAUGUUCACAAAUUUAAAAAAUGUACACGAAUUUUAAACAAUGUUCAUGAUUUCAAAACAAGUUCAUGCAUUAGCGAAAUGUUCACAAAUUUGCAAAAAAUGUUCACAAAUGGAAAUAAUGUUCACGAAUCUAAAAAAUGUUCAUGAUUUCAAAGAAAGUUCAUGCAUUCGCGAAAUGUUCACGAAUUUGCCAAAAAUAUUCAUGAUUACAAAAAAUUGUCUUGAAUUUAAGAUAAUGUUCAUGGUUCAAAAAAUGUUCGUGAAUUCGAAAAAAUGUUCACGUAUUUGUAACAAAUGUUCAUGAUUCCAAAGGAAUGAAGUUUUUUUGAAUUUGACGAACAUAUUUUGAACAUCGAUGAACAAAUUUGGCAUUUGAUGAACAUUUUUUUAAUUUGAAGAACAAAAUUUGUGUUAGAGAAUUUUUUUGGAAAAAAUUAUGAGCAAAAUUUGCAUUCGAUGAACAUUAUUUUGAAAAAUUGAUGAACACAUUUUUAAUUCAGUGAACAAAUUUUGAAUGUAAUGAACAUUUUUUGAAUCUGAUGAACAAAAAAUUCAAUGAAAAAAAAAAGAAACCGAUGAACAAUUUUUUAGUUUUAUGAACAACUUUUGAAUUUUUAUGAACAUUUUUUAAAUCUAAUGAACAAAAAAUUGAAUUGGAUGAACCUUUUUUACAUUGUUGAACAUUUUUUUGCAUGGUUGAACAUUUUUUGAAUUCGAUGAACAAAAAAAGUUGUUAACGAAUUCGAAAUAAAAAAUGCCAAAAUUAGUCAAAAAGUGAAGAAGAAGAAGAAGAAAAUAGGAAAAAGCGAAAGAAAAAACGAAAAAUGAAAAUGAAAUAAAAAAUUCAAAAUAACAGAAAAACAAAGAAAAACCGGUUCUAGGAAGGUUUUAGAACGUUCCCAAAACCAGCAGAACUAGAGAAAGGGAAGAGAACUGGGCCGGCCCGAUAACGAAAGGAACGACGCAGGGGAGGUACACGCUACGAUGUUACGCGGCGACCUACGCGCCAUAUAGGAACCCCGGGGCAGCACAUAGCCACGCCCUGAUCAAUGACCCACUGGUGGAGUUACAACAAGGCCGAAUGGGUCAUAGCCCACCUGGUUAAUGAAACUUUGUACACUAUACAUCUAUUCUUGGGCUUUGAAACAACAUCCUACGACCUAUUUGCUUCUGUUUGGCCCAUCCAGAUUUGGGCGCAAUCUCCGCCAUAUUGCAGUGACCUUGUGUAGACUCUACAUGUUUGAGGUCAUCAUUACCUGAAGAAAGCGCGUGCAAGAGUGUGGGGACCUAUUAACUGAUUUGGGCUUGCUAAAAAGAAGAGAAAUCGGGAUCCUAUACACACCAUGGUAUACCAAUCAUCUUAUCAUUGGUCACUACAUUUUCUUCAGACACUGACUGGGCGUGUUUAUUUCAAACCUCUAACUGUAUUUGCACCCAACACGCUUCUGAAAAUUUUCCUUUGUACUUCAGACAUUUUGUCGAACAGAUCGCGUGCACUGUGAGAGCACACACAGAGCACGCUUGGACGCCGCACGACUAAACGGACAACGUGCGCGCGCCAGAGCAGCCUUGCAGCCGAGAGGGCAUGAGCUCGGUGAUGGGAAUCGUUGCAUGGAAAACAAAACAAAAUUCCUACAAGAUGACGAAUUCACCCAAGAUCUAAUCUACUAGAUGCUAGCAAUGAGUGGGAGAGAGUCUACAUACCCUUGUAGACCGAGAACGGAAAUGUUCUAACGAACGUGAUUGGUAUAGUCGUACUUUAUUCGCGAUCCAAUCCGAUCAAGCACCGUGGGAACGGCACCUCCGAGAUAUGCACACGUAUGGCUCGGCGACGUUUCUUUCUUCUUGAUCCAGCAAGAAAGAGGAAGAGGUAGAUGGGAUCUAGGCCAGCAACACAACGACAUGGUGGUGGAGUUAUGGUGGAACUCCUAGAGGGCUUCGCCAAGCGUCUGCGGAGAGGUACAAGCUCAUGUUGGAUGCGCAAAAGGAGAUGAUGAAGUGGGAUCGAAAGAGGGCAGAGAAGAAGCUCGAAAUUGAGAGGGAGAAGAUCGAGUUGGAGAAGCAGGAGGCGGCGGUCAAAUGGGAACUCGAGAAGGCCAAGACAUUUGGCGAGAUAGAGCUUGAGAAGGAGAGGUUGUAACUCGCACGGGACGCAGAGGAUGCGAAGAUCAUGUUGGCGGACGAAACCCUCUAUCAACGACCGUAGGGAGUACGACAGCGACAACGAAUCAUGAGGCCCGGAUGCAGGUGGAGCAGGACGAGCAGGACGCAUUCCGCUCGGAGCAGGCGUCCGACCAAUGAUCCGAAGCCAUCCGCCAUGCUUGGCCAGUGAUCCGAAGCCAUCUGUCAUGCUUGGACAUUGAUUUCAUUUUGGCAUGUCCGGUUUAUUGAACUAUGAUUUGCUUUACUUUGUUUUGAACUGUUGAAUUCGGAUAAUUUGUAUCGUAUGAUCGACGUGCAUGGAUUGCAUGGAUUUGAUGAUCGGUAUCUAAGGUAUGUGGAUGUGGGGCGCGAUAUAUGAGAGGCCAGCGGGCGCUGUCUGCAGAUGCGCUCGCGGGCGUAUAGGGGGGCGAAUUUGUCAAGUCCUGGUGUAGAUGCUCUAACCAACUUGGUUCGGACCUAGACUUUCACCACAAAGGUUGAGACCAUGCUUGAAUAGCAGCACCAUCGAAGUCACAUAUGUGUUGUCGCCACCAUUUUUUCACGAUCUUAAUAGCUAUACGUGAUGUGAGACCGCCCCGCUGCCAGCCAUCCCUCGCACCAAUCUGCCGUCCAUAGCUUGCAUUGUUGGGGAAUGUAGUAAUUUCAAAACAAUUCCUACGCACACACAGGAUCAUGGUGAUGCAUAGCAACGAGAGGGGAGAGUGUGUCCACGUACCCUCGUAGAUCAAAAGCGGAAGCGUUAGCACAACGCGGUUGAUGUAGUCGUACGUCUUCACGAUCCGACCGAUCAAGUACCGAACGUACGGCACCUCCGAGUUCAGCGCACGAUCAGCUCGAUGACGUCCCUCGAACUCCGAUCCAGCCGAGCUUUAAGGGAGAGUUCCGUCAGCACGACGGCGUGGUGAUGGUGAUGAUGAUGCUACUGACACAAGGCUUCGCCUAAGCACCGCUAUGAUAUUAUCGAGGUGGAAUAUGGUGGAGGGGGGCACCGCACACGGCUAAGAGAUCAAGAGAUCAAUUGUUGUGUCUCCAAGGGGUGCCCUCCUCCCCGUAUAUAAAGGAGUGGAGGAGGGGGAGGGGGCCGGCCACCCUAGGCGCGCCCCAUGAGGAGUCCUACUCCCACCGGGAGUAGGACACCCCCCUUCCAAGUGGGAGUAGGAGAGGAGAGGGAAGGAGAGAGAUGGGGAGAGGAAAGGGGGGCGCCGCCCCCCCUCCUUGUCCAAUUCGGACUGGGGGAGGGGCGCGCGGCUGCCCUUGGCCGCCCCUCCUCUUCUCCACUAGGGCCCAAUAGGCCCAUUAGUCUCCUCGGGGGGUUCCGGUAACCCCCCGGUACUCCGGUAUGUGUCCGAAACUACCCGAAACCAUUCCGGUGUCCGAACAUAGUCAUCCAAUAUAUCAAUCUUUAUGUCUCGACCAUUUAGAGACUCCUCGUCAUGUACGUGAUCAUAUCCGGGACUCCGAACUACCUUCGGUACAUCAAAUCACAAAACUCAUAAUACCGAUUGUCAUCUAACUUUAAGCGUGCGGACCCUACGGGUUCGAGAACUAUGUAGACAUGACCGAGACUCAUCUCCGGUCAAUAACCAAUAGCGGAACCUGGAUGCUCAUAUUGGCUCCUACAUAUUCUACGAAGAUCUUUAUCGGUCAAACCGCAUAACAACAUACGUUGUUCCCUUUGUCAUCGGUAUGUUACUUGCCCGAGAUUUGAUCGUCGGUAUCUCAAUACCUAGUUCAAUCUCGUUACCGGCAAGUCUCUUUACUCGUUCCGUAAUACAUCAUCCUGCAACUAACUCAUUAGUUACAAUGCUUGCAAGGCUUAUAGUGAUGUGCAUUACCGAGUGGGCCCAGAGAUACCUCUCCGACAAUCGGAGUGACAAAUCCUAAUCUUGAAAUAGGCCAACCCAACAAGUACCUUUGGAGACACCUGUAGAGCACCUUUAUAAUCACCCAGUUACGUUUUGACGUUUGGUAGCACACAAAGUGUUCCUCCGGUAAACGGGAGUUGCAUAAUCUCAUAGUCAUAGGAACAUGUAUAAGUCAUGAAGAAAGCAAUAGCAACAUACUAAACGAUCAAGUGCUAAGCUAACGGAAUGGGUCAAGUCAAUCACAUCAUUCUCCUAAUGAUGUGAUCCCAUUAAUCAAAUGACAACUCAUGUCUAUGGCUAGGAAACAUAACCAUCUUUGAUCAACGAGCUAGUCAAGUAGAGGCAUACUAGUGACACUCUGUUUGUCUAUGUACUCACACAUGUAUCAUGUUUCCGGUUAAUACAAUUCUAGCAUGAAUAAUAAACAUUUAUCAUGAUAUAAGGAAAUAAAUAAUAACUUUAUUAUUGCCUCUAGGGCAUAUUUCCUUCAGUCUCCCACUUGCACUAGAGUCAAUAAUCUAGAGCACAUUGCCAUGUGAUUUAACAUCAAUAGUUCACAUCACCAUGUGAUUAACACCCAUAGUUCACAUCGUCAUGUGACCAACACCCAAAGAGUUUACUAGAGUCAAUAAUCUAGUUCACAUUGCUAUGUGAUUAACACCCAAAGAGUACUAUGGUGUGAUCAUGUUUUGCUUGUGAGAGAAGUUUAGUCAACGGGUCUACCAUAUUCAGAUCCGUAUGUAUUUUGCAAAUUUCUAUGUCCACAAUGCUCUGCACAGAGCUACUUUAGCUAAUUGCUCCCACUCUCAAUAUGUAUCCAGAUUAAGACUUAGAGUCAUCUGGAUCAGUGCCAAAACUUGUAUCGACGUAACCCUUUACGACGAACCUUUUGUCACCUCCAUAAUCGAGAAACAUAUCCUUAUUCCACUAAGGAUAAUUUUGGCCGCUGUUCAGUGAUCUACUCCUAGAUCAGUAUUGUACUCCCUUGCCAAAAUUAGUGUAGGGUAUACAAUAGAUCUGGUACACAACAUUGCAUACUUCAUAGAACCUAUGGCUGAGGCAUAGGGAAUGACUUUCAUUCUCUUUCUAUCUUCUGCCGUGGUCGGGCUUUGAGUCUUAAUCAAUUUCACACCUUGUAACACAGACAAGAACUCUUUCUUUGAUUGUUCCAUUUUGAACUACUUCAAAAUCUUGUCAAGGUAUGUACUCAUUGAAAAAACUUAUCAAGCGUCUUGAUCUAUCUCUAUAGAUCUUGAUGCUCAAUAUGUAAGCAGCUUUACCGAGGUCUUUCUUUGAAAAAAUCCUUUGAAACACUCCUUUAUGCUUUGCAGAAUAAUUCUACAUUAUUUCCGAUCAACAAUAUGUCAUUCACAUAUACUUAUCAAAAAUGUUGUAGUGCUCCCACUCACUUUCUUGUUUACAGGCUUCACCACAAGUAUGUAUAAAACUAUAUGCUUUGAUCAAUUUAUCAAAGCGUAUAUUCCAACUCCGAGAUGCUUGCACCAGUCCAUAGAUGGAUCGCUGGAGCUUGCAUAUUUUGUUAGCACCUUUAGGAUUAACAAAACCUUCUUGUUGCAUCAUAUACAACUCUUCUUUAAAAAAUCCAUUAAGGAAUGCAGUUUUGUUUAUCCAUUUGCCAGAUUUCAUAAAAUGCGGCAAUUGCUAACAUGAUUCGGACAGACGUAAGCAUAGAUACGAGUGAGAAACUCUCAUCGUAGUCAACACCUUGAACUUGUCGAAAACCUUUUUGUGACAAUUCUAGCUUUGUAGAUAGUAACACUACUAUCAGCGUCCGUCUUCCUCUUGAAGAUCCAUUUAAUCUCAAUGGCUCACCAAUCAUCGGGCAAGUCAAUCAAAGUCCAUACUUUGUUCUCGUACAUGGAUCCCAUCUCAGAUUUCAUGGCCUCAAGCCAUUCUGCGGAAUCUGGGCUCAUCAUCGCUUCCUCAUAGUUCGUAGGUUUGUCAUGGUCAAGUAACAUGACCUCCAGAACAGGAUUACCGUACCACUCUGGUGCGGAUCUUACUCUGGUUGACCUACGAGGUUCGGUAGUAACUUGAUAUAAAGUUACAUGAUCAUCAUCAUUAGCUUCCUCACUAAUUGGUGUAGGAGUCACAGGAACAAAUUUCUGUGAUGAACUACUUUCCAAUAAGGGAGCAUGUAUAAUUACCUAAUCAAGUUUUACUUUCCUCCCACUCACUUCUUUCGAGAGAAACUCCUUCUCUAGAAAGGAUCCAUUCUUAGCAACGAAUAUCUUGCCUUCGGAUCUGUGAUAGAAGGUGUACCCAACUGUGUCCUUUGGGUAUCCUAUGAAGACACAUUUCUCCGAUUUGGGUUUGAGCUUAUCAGGAUGAAACUUUUUCUUAUAAGCAUCGCAACCCCAAACUUUAAGAAACGACAACUUUGGUUUCUUGCCAAACCACAGUUCAUAUGGUGUCGUCUCAACGGAUUUAGAUGGUGCCCUAUUUAACGUGAAUGCAGCUGUCUCUAAUGCAUAAUGCUACCUCUUGAGCACUACGUUGGUUUUCCCUUGAAGAGGAAAGGGUGAUGCAGCAAAGUAGCGUAAGUAUUUCCCUCAGUUUUUGAGAACCAAGGUAUCAAUCCAGUAGGAGGCUACGCGCGAGUCCCUCGCACCUACACAAAACAAAUAACUCCUCGCAACCAACGCGAUAAGGGGUUGUCAAUCCCUUCACGGUCACUUACGAGAGUGAGACCUGAUAGAUAUGAUAGGAUAAUAUUUUUGGUAUUUUUAUGAUAAAGAUGCAAAGUAAAAUAAAAGCAAAGUAAAAAACAAAGGAAAUAACUAAGAGUUGGAAGAUUAAUAUGAUGAAGAUAGACCCGGGGGCCAUAGGUUUCACUAGUGGCUUCUCUCAAGAGCAUAAGUAUUUUACGGUGGGUGAACGAAUUACUGUUGAGCAAUUGACAGAAUUGAGCAUAGUUAUGAGAAUAUCUAGGUAUGAUCAUGUAUAUAGGCAUCACGUCCGAGACAAGUAGACCGACUCCUGCCUGCAUCUACUACUAUUACUCCACUCAUCGACCGCUAUCCAGCAUGCAUUUAGAGUAUUAAGUUCAUGAAAACAGAGUAACGCCUUAAGCAAGAUGACAUGAUGUAGAGGGAUAAAUUCAUGCAAUAUGAUAAAAAAAAACAUCUUGUUAUCCUCGAUGGCAACAAUACAAUACGUGCCUUGCUGCCCCUACUGUCACUGGGAAAGGACACCGCAAGAUUGAACCCAAAGCUAAGCACUUCUCCCAUUGCAAGAAAGAUCAAUCUAGUAGGCCAAACCAAACUGAUAAUUCGAAGAGACUUGCAAAGAUAACCAAUCAUACAUAAAAGAAUUCAGAGAAGAUUCAAAUAUUGUUCAUAGAUAAUCUUGAUCAUAAACCCACAAUUCAUCGGUCUCAACAAAGACACCGCAAAAAGAAGAUUACAUCGAAUAGAUCUCCGAGAGAGGGGGAGAACAUUGUAUUGAGAUCCAAAAAGAGAGAAGAAGCCAUCUAGCUACUAACUAUGGACCCGAAGGUCUGAGGUAAACUACUCACACUUCAUCGGAGAGGCUAUGGUGUUGAUGUAGAAGCCCUCCGUGAUGGAUGCCCCCUUCGGCGGAGCUCCAGAACAGGCCCCAAGAUGGGAUCUCGUGGGUACAGAAGGCUGCGGCGGUGGAAUUAGGUUUUUGGCUCCGUAUCUGAUCGUUUGGGGGUACGUAGGUAUAUAUAGGAGGAAGGAGUACGUCGGUGGAGCGACAGGGGGCCCACGAGGGUGGAGGGCGCGCCCUGGGGGGUGGGCACGCCCCCCUACCUCGUGGCCUCCUCUUUUGUUUCUUGACGUAGGGUCCAAGUCUCCUGGAUCAUAUUCUUCCUAAAAAUCACGUUCCCGAAGGUUUCAUUCCGUUUGGACUCCGUUUGAUAUUCCUUUUCUGCGAAACUCUGAAAUAGGCAAAAAACAACAAUUCUGGGCUGGGCCUCCGGUUAAUAGGUUAGUCCCAAAAAUAAUAUAAAAGUGGAUAAUAAAGCCCAAUAUUGUCCAAAGCAGUAGAUAAUAUAGCAUGGAGCAAUCAAAAAUUAUAGAUACGUUGGAGACGUAUCAGGCAUCCCCAAGCUUAAUUCCUGCUCGUCCUCGAGUAGGUAAAUGAUAAAAACAGAAUUUUUGAUGCAGAGUGCUACUUGGCAUAAUUUCAAUGUAAUUCUUCUUAAUUGUGGUAUGAAUAUUCAGAUCCGAAAGAUUCAAGACAAAAGUUCAAUAUUGACAUAAAAAUAAUAAUACUUCAAGCAUACUAACUAAGCAAUCAUCUCUUCUCAAAAUAACAUGGCCAAAGAAAGUUAUCCCUACAAAAUCAUAUAGUCUAGCUAUGCUCUAUCUUCACCACACAAAGUAUUUAAAUCAUGCGCAACCCUGAUGACAAGCCAAGCAAUUGUUUCAUACUUUUAACGUUCUCAAACUUUUUCAAUCUUCACGCAAUACAUGAGCGUGAGCCAUGGAUAUAGCACUAUAUGUGGAAUAGAAUGGUGGUUGUGGAGAAGACAAAAAGGGAGAACAUAGUCUCACAUCAACUAGGCGUAUCAACGGGCUAUGGAGAUGCCCAUCAGUAGAUAUCAAUGUGAGUGAGUAGGGAUUGCCAUGCAACGGAUGCACUAGAGCUAUAAGUAUAUGAAAGCUCAACAAAAGAAACUAAGUGGGUGUGCAUCCAACUCGCUUGCUCAUGAAGACCUAGGGCAUUUUGAGGAAGCCCAUCAUUGGAAUAUACAAGCCAAGUUCUAUAAUGAAAAAUUCCCACAAGUAUAUGAAAGUGACAAAAUGAGAGACUCUCUAUCAUGAAGAUCAUGGUGCUACUUUGAAGCACAAGUGUGGUAAAAGGAUAGUAACAUUGUCCCUUCUCUCUUUUUCUCUCAUUUUUUUAUUUGGGCCUUUUCUCUUUUUUAUGGCCUCUUUUUUUUCGUCCGGAGUCUCAUCCUGAUUUGUGGGCGAAUCAUAGUCUCCAUCAUCCUUUUCCUCACUUGGGACAAUGCUCUAAAAAUGAAUAUCAUCACAAUUUUAUUUUCUUACAACUCAACAAUUACAACUCGAUACUUAGAACAAAAUAUGACUCUGUAUGAAUGCCUCCGGCGGUGUACCGGGAUAUGCAAUGAAUCAAGAGUGACAUGUAUGAAAGAAUUAUGAACGGUGGCUUUGCCACAAAUACGAUGUCAACUACAUGAUCAUGCAAAGCAAUAUGACAAUGAUGGAGCGUGUCAUAAUAAACGGAACGGUGGAAAGUUGCAUGGCAAUAUAUCUCGGAAUGGCUAUGGAAAUGCCAUGAUAGGUAGGUAUGGUGGCUGUUUUGAGGAAGGUUUAUGGUGGGUGUAUGAUACCGGCGAAAAGUGCGCGGUAUUAGAGAGGCUAGCAAUGGUGGAAGGAAGAAGGGUGCGUAUAAUCCAUGGAAUCAACAUUAGUCAUAAAGAACUCAUAUACUUAUUGCAAAAAUCUACAAGUUUUCAAAGCAAAGUAUUACACGCAUGCUCCUAGGGGGAUAGAUUGGUAGGAAAAGACCAUCGCUCGUCCCCGACCGCCACUCAUAAGGAAGACAAUCAAUAAAUAAAUCAUGCUCCGACUUCAUCACAUAACGGUUCACCAUACGUGCAUGCUACGGGAAUCACAAACUUUAACACAAGUAUUUCUAAAAUUCACAACUACUCAACUAGCACGACUCUAAUAUCACCAUCUUUAUAUCUCAAAACAAUUAUCAAGCAUCAAACUUUUCUUAGUAUUCAACACACUCAUAAGAAAGUUUUUACUAAUCUUGAAUACCAAGCAUAUUAGGAUUAUUUAAGACAAUUACCAUGCUAUUUAAGACUCUCAAAAUAAUCUAAGUGAAGCAUGAGAGAUCAAUAGUUUCUAUAAAACAAAUCCACCACCGUGCUCUAAAAGAUAUAAGUGAAGCACUAGAGCAAAACUAUAUAACUCAAAAGAUAUAAGCGAAGCACAUAGAGUAUUCUAACAAAUUCCAAAUCAUGUAUGGCUCUCUCAAAAGGUGUGUACAGCAAGGAUGAUUGUGGUAAACUAAAAAGCAAUGACUCAAAUCAUACAAGACGCUCCAAGCAAAACACAUAUCAUGUGGUGAAUAAAAUAUAGCUCCAAGUAAACUUACCGAUGGAAGUAGACGAAAGAGGGGAUGCCUUCCGGGGCAUCCCCAAGCUUUGGCUUUUUGGUGUCCUUAGAUUAUCUUGGGGGUGCCAUGGGCAUCCCCAAGCUUAGGCUCUUGCCACUCCUUGUUCCAUAAUCCAUCAAAAUCUUUCACCCAAAACUUGAAAACUUCACAACACAAAACUUAACAGAAAAUCUCGUGAGCUCCGUUAGCGAAAGAAAACAAAAGACCACUUCAAGGUACUGUAAUGAACUCAUUCUUUAUUUAUAUUGGUGUUAAACCUACUGUAUUCCAACUUCUCUAUGGUUUAUAAACUAUUUUACUAGCCAUAGAUUCAUCAAAAUAAGCAAAAAACACACGAAAAACAGAAUCUGUCAAAAACAGAACAGUCUGUAGUAAUCUGUAACUAACGCAAACUUCUGGAACUCCAAAACAUCAGCAAAAAUAGGAAGACCUAGAAUUUUUUUUUAUUAAUCAGAAGCAAUUGGAAUCACUAUUUUAUCACGUUCUGGUGAUUUUUAACAAUUAUUUUCGUGAACAGAAAGAUUCUGGAAAUUACAGCAAGAUCAAAUAACUAUCAUCCAAGAAGAUCCUAUAGGUUUAACUUGGCUCAAACACUAAUUAAAACAUAAAAACACAUCUAACCAGAGGCUAGAACAAAUAUUUAUUCCUAAACAGAAGCAAAAAACUAAAAAUAAAAUUGGGUUGCCUCCCAACAAGCGCUAUCGUUUAACGCCCCUAGCUAGGCAUAAAAGCAAGGAUAAAUCUAGGUAUUGCCAUAUUUGGUUUUAGGGAAAAUGAGAGCAAACUUGUUAUCUAUGGAAUUAAUAUUUCUAUUUUGACAAAGUACAUGGCCAUUAAUGGUAGAAGAAAGAUUAAGUAUGUUGCGGAAAUUGGCAUCUAGGCUAGCUUUUAUCUCUUUGAUAGAUUCGUUUUGGUAAGAAAGCAAAAGAGACGUGAUUUCAACUUUCUCCUUAAUGGGGUGCCCAAAUAUAGUUUUCAUCUUUUCAUAGGUAUCUAUGGGGUCCCCUUCAAGAAAACCCUCUUCAAAAAUAGAAUCCAAGACUUGUUUGAACGAAGCGGGCAACCCAACAUAAAAGCUUUUUAAGUAAACCUCAAUUUGGUAUUGAGGUACAUAGCUAGCACGGAUCCUUAAUAGCCUAUCCCAAGCAUCUUUCAAAGAUUCAUCAAGUAAAUAACGAAAUAUUCCAGAAUCUUCUUCAUCAAAAUUGCUAAGGUUUUCAUUCAUAAUUUCGGCAGGUUUUUCCAUAGUAUUUUUAUUUAUGAGUUUAGAUAAGAUAGCAGGAUUGUCUAAAGCGCUAAAACUCGGGAGAGAAACCCCAGCUUUUUUUGGUUCUGACAUGGCGAGGGAAAAGCGAACGAAAAGAGGCAACCGGAAAAAAGAGAGCGAAUAAAACGGCAAGGGUGAAGUGGGGGAGAGGAAAACGAGAGGCAAAUGGCAAAUAAUGUAAUGCGGGAGAUAAGAGAUUGUGAUGGGUACUUGGUAUGUUGACUUUUGCGUAGACCUCCCCGGCAACGGCGCCAGAAAUCCUUCUUGCUACCUCUUGAGCACUGCGUUGGAUUUCCCUUGAAGAGGAAAGGGUGAUGCAGCAAAGUAGCGUAAGUAUUUCCCUCAGUUUUUGAGAACCAAGGUAUCAAUCCAGUAGGAGGCUACGCGCGAGUCCCUCGCACCUACACAAAACAAAUAACUCCUCGCAACCAACGCAAUAAGGGGUUGUCAAUCCCUUCACGGUCACUUACGAGAGUGAGAUCUGAUAGAUAUGAUAGGAUAAUAUUUUUGGUAUUUUUAUGAUAAAGAUGCAAAGUAAAAUAAAAGCAAAGUAAAAAACAAAGGAAAUAACUAAGUGUUGGAAGAUUAAUAUGAUGAAGAUAGACCCGGGGGGCAUAGGUUUCACUAGUGGCUUCUCUCAAGAGCAUAAGUAUUUUUCGGUGGGUGAACGAAUUACUGUUGAGCAAUUGAUAGAAUUGAGCAUAGUUAUGAGAAUAUCUAGGUAUGAUCAUGUAUAUAGGCAUCACGUCCGAGACAAGCAGACCGACUCCUACCUGCAUCUACUACUAUUACUCCACUCAUCGACCGCUAUCCAGCAUGCAUCUAGAGUAUUAAGUUCAUGAAAACAGAGUAACGCCUUAAGCAAGAUGACAUGAUGUAGAGGGAUAAAUUCAUGCAAUAUGAUAAAAAAACCAUCUUGUUAUCCUCGAUGGCAACAAUACAAUACGUGCCUUGCUGCCCCUACUGUCACUGGGAAAGAACACCGCAAGAUUGAACCCAAAGCUAAGCACUUCUCCCAUUGCAAGAAAGAUCAAUCUAGUAGGCCAAACCAAACUGAUAAUUCGAAGAGACUUGCAAAGAUAACCAAUCAUACAUAAAAGAAUUCAGAGAAGAUUCAAAUAUUGUUCAUAGAUAAUCUUGAUCAUAAACCCACAAUUCAUCGGUCUCAACAAACACACCGCAAAAAGAAGAUUACAUCGAAUAGAUCUCCACGAGAGAGGGGGAGAACAUUGUAUUGAGAUCCAAAAAGAGAGAAGAAGCCAUCUAGCUACUAACUAUGGACCCGAAGGUUUGAGGUAAACUACUCACACUUCAUCGGAGAGGCUAUGGUGUUGAUGUAGAAGCCCUCCGUGAUGGAUGCCCCCUCCGGCGGAGCUCCGGAACAGGCCCCAAGAUGGGAUCUCGUGGGUACAGAAGGUUGCGGUGGUGGAAUUAGGUUUUUGGCUCCGUAUCUGAUCGUUUGGGGGUACGUAGGUAUAUAUAGGAGGAAGGAGUACAUUGGUGGAGCAAUAGGGGGCCCACGAGGGUGGAGGGCGCGCCCCCCUACCUCGUGGCCUCCUCUUUUGUUUCUUGACGUAGGGUCCAAGUCUCCUGGAUCAUAUUCUUCCUAAAAAUCACGUUCCCGAAGGUUUCAUUCCGUUUGGACUCCGUUUGAUAUUCCUUCUCUGCAAAACUCUGAAAUAGGCAAAAAACAGCAAUUCUGGACUGGGCCUCUGGUUAAUAGGUUAGUCCCAAAAAUAAUAUAAAAGUGGAUAAUAAACCCCAAUAUUGUCCAAAACAGUAGAUAAUAUAGCAUGGAGCAAUCAAAAAUUAUAGAUACGUUGGAGACGUAUCACAUAACCCCAAAACGAUAGUGGUAGAUCGGUAAGAAACAUCAUAGAUCGCACCAUAUCUAGUAAAGUACUAUUAUGACGUACGGACACACCAUUAUGCUGUGGUGUUCCAGGUGGCAUGAAUUUGUGAAACUAUUCCACAUUGUUUUAAUUGAAGACCAAACUCGUAACUCAAAUAUUUGUCUCCGCGAUCAGAUCGUAGAAACUUUAUUUUCUUGUCACAAUGAUUUUCCACUUUACUCUGAAAUUCUUUGAACUUUUGAAAUGUUUCAGACUUAUGUUUCAUCAAGUAGAUAUACCCAUAUCUGCUCAAAUCAUCUGUGAAGGUUAGAAAAUAACGAUACCCGCAGCAAGCCUCAACACUCAUCGGAUCGUAUACAUCAGUAUGUAUUAUUUCCAACAAGUUUGUUGCUUGCUCCAUUGAGUCUUAGUCAUCUUGCCCAUGAGGCAUGGUUCGCAAGCAUCAAGUGAUUCAUAAUCAAGUGAUUCCAAAAGCCCAUCAACAUGGAGUUUCUUCAUGUGCUUUAUACCAAUAUGGCCUAAACGGCAGUGCCACAAAUAAGUUGCACUAUCAUUAUUAACUUUGCAUCUUUUGGCUUCAAUAUUAUGAAUAUGUGUAUCACUACGAUCGAGAUCCAACAAACUAUUUUCAUUGGGUGUAUGACCAUCGAAGGUUUUAUUCAUGUAAACAGAAUAACAAUUAUUCUCAAAUUUUAAAUGAAUAAACGUAUUGCAAUAAACAUGAUCAAAUCAUAUUCAUGCUUAACGCAAACUCCAAAUAACAUUUAUUUAGGUUCAACACUAAUCCCAAAAGUAUAGGUAGUGUGCGAUGAUGAUCAUAUCAAUCUUGGAACCACUUCCAACACACAUCGUCACUUCACCCUUAACUAGUCUCUGUUCAUUCUGCAACUCCCGUUUCAAGUUACUUCUCUUAGCAACUGAACCAGUAUCAAAUACCGAGGGGUUGCUAUAAACACUAGUAAAGUACACAUUAAUAACAUGUAUAUCAAAUAUAGCUUGUUCACUUUGCCAUUCUUCUUAUCUGCCAAAUACUUGGGGUAGUUCCGCUUCCAGUGACCAGUCCCUUUGCAGUAGAAGCACUUAGUCUCAGGCUUAGGUCCAGACUUGGGCUUCUUCACUUGAGCAGCAACUUGCUUGUCGUUCUUCUUGAAGUUCCCCUUCUUCCCUUUGCCCUUUCUCUUGAAACUAGUGGUCUUGUCAACCAUCAACACUUGAUGCUUUUCUUGAUUUCUACCUUCGCCGAUUUUAGCAUAGCGAAGAGCUUGGGAAUCGUUUUCGUCAUCCCUUGCAUAUUAUAGUUCAUCACGAAGUUCUAGUAACUUGGUGAUAGUGACUAGAGAACUCUGUCAAUCACUAUCUUAUUUGAAAGAUUAACUCCCACUUGAUUCAAGCAAUUGUAGUACCCAGACAUUCUGAGCACAUGCUCACUGGCUGAGCUAUUCUCCUCCAUCUUGUAGGCAAAGUACUGUCAGAGGUCUCAUACCUCUCGACACGGGUAUGAGUCUGAAAUACCAAUUUCAACUCUUGGAACAUCUCAUAUGCUCCGUGGCGUUCAAAACAUUUUUGAAGUUCCGGUUCUAAGCCGUAAAGCAUGGUGCACUAAACUAUCAAGUAGUCAUCAUAACGAGCUUGCCAAACAUUCAUAACGUCUGCAUCUGCUCCUGCAAUAGGUUUGUCACCUAGCAGUGCAUCAAGGACGUAAUUCUUCUGUGCAGCAAUGAGGAUAAUCCUCAGAUCACGGACCAAGUCCAUAAUUUUGCUACUAACAUCUUUCAACUUAGUUUUCUCUAGGAACAUAUCAAAAUUAAAAUAGGGGAGCUAAACGCGAGCUAUUGAUCUACAACAUAGAUAUGCUAAUAUUACCAUGACUAAGUGCAUGAUAAAUUAAAGUUCAAUUAAUCAAAUUACUUAAGAACUCCCACUUAGAUAGACAUCCCUCUAAUCAUCUAAGUGAUCACGUGAUCCAUAUCAACUAAACCAUGUCCGAUCAUCACGUGAGAUGGAGUAGUUUUCAAUGGUGAACAUCACUAUGUUGAUCAUAUCUUCUAUAUGAUUCACGCUCGACCUUUCGGUGUCAGUGUUCCGAAGCCAUAUCUGCAUAUGCUAGGCUCGUCAAGUUUAACCCGAGUAUUCUGCGUGUGCAAAAACUGGCUUGCACCCGUUGUAGAUGAACGUAGAGCUUAUCACACCCGAUCAUCACGUGGUGUCUCGGCACGACGAACUUUGGCAACGGUGCAUACUCAGGGAGAACAGUUUUAUCUUGAAAUUUUAGUGAGAGAUCAUCUUAUAAUGCUACCAUCAAACAAAGCAAGAUAAGAUGCAUAAAAGAUAAACAUCACAUGCAAUCAAUAUAAGUGAUAUGAUAUGGCCAUCAUCAUCUUGUGCUUGUGAUCUCCAUCUCCGAAGCACCGUCAUGAUCACCAUCGUCACCGGUGCGACACCUUGAUCUCCAUCGUAGCAUCGUUGUCGUCUCGCCAACUAUUGCUUCUACGACUAUCGCUACCGCUUAGUGAUAAAGUAAAGCAAUUAUAGGGCGUUUGCAUUGCAUACAAUAAAGCAACAACCAUAUGGCUCCUGCCAGUUGCCGAUAACUUGGUUACAAAACAUGAUCAUCUCAUACAAUAAAAUAUAGCAUCAUGCCUUGACCAUAUCACAUCACAACAUACCCUGCAAAAACAAGUUAGACGUCCUCUACUUUGUUGUUGCAGGUUUUACGUGGUUGCUACGGGCUGAGCAAGAACCGUUCUUACCAACGCAUCAAAACCACAAUGAUAGUUCGUCAAGUCAGUGCUGUUUUAACCUUCUCAAGGACCGGGCGUAGCCACACUCGGUUCAACUAAAGUUGGAGAAACUGACACCCGCCAGCCACCUAUGUGCAAAGCACGUUGGUAGAACCAGUCUCGCGUAAGCGUACGCGUAAUGUCGGUCCGGGCCGCUUCAUCCAACAAUACCGCCGAACCAAAGUAUGACAUGCUGGUAAGUAGUAUGACUUGUAUCACCCACAACUCACUUGUGUUCUACUCGUGCAUAUAACAUCUACGCAUAAAACCAGGCUCUGAUACCACUGUUGGGGAACGUAGUAAUUUCAAAAAAAAUCAUACGCACACACAGGAUCAUGGUGAUGCAUAGCAACGAGAGGAGAGAGUGUGUCCACGUACCCUCAUAGACCGAAAGCGGAAGCGUUAGCACAACGAGGUUGAUGUAGUCGUACGUCUUCAAGGUCCGACCGAUCAAGUACCGAACGUACGUCACCUCCGAGUUCAGCACACGUUCAGCUCGAUGACGUCCCUCGAACUCCGAUCCAGCCGAGCUUUAAGGGAGAGUUCCGUCAGCACGACGGCGUGGUGACGGUGAUGAUGAUGCUACCGACACAGGGCUUCGCCUAAGCACCGCUACGAUAUUAUCAAGGUGGAAUAUGGUGGAGGAGGGCACCGCACACGGCUAAGAGAUCAAGAGAUCAAUUGUUGUGUCUCCAAGGGGUGCCCCCCUCCCCAUAUAUAAAGGAGUGGAGGAGGGGGAGGGGGCUGGCCACCCUAGGCGUGCCCCAUGAGGAGUCCUACUCCCACCGGGAGUAGGACUCCCCCCUUCCAAGUGGGAGUAGGAGGGGAGAGGGAAGGAGAGAGAGGGGGGAAGGAAAGGGGGGCGCCCCCCUCCUUGUCCAAUUCGGACUGGGGGGAGGGGGCGCGCGGCUGCCCUUGGCCGCCCGUCCUCUUCUCCACUAGGGACCAACAGGCCCAUUAGUCUCCCCCGUGGGUUCCGGUAACCCCCCGGUACUCCGGUAUGUGUCCGAAACUACCCGAAACCAUUCCGAUGUCCGAACAUAGUCAUCCAAUAUAUCGAUCUUUAUGUCUCGACCAUUUCGAGACCCCUCGUCAUGUCUGUGAUCAUAUCCGGGACUCCGAACUACCUUCGGUACAUCAAAUCACAAAACUCAUAAUACCGAUUGUCAUCUAACUUUAAGCGUGCGGACCCUACGGGUUCGAGAACUAUGUAGACAUGACCGAGACUCAUCUCCGGUCAAUAACCAAUAGCGGAACCUAGAUGCUCAUAUUGGCUCCUACAUAUUCUACGGAGAUCUUUAUCGGUCAAACCGCAUAACAACAUGCGUUGUUCCCUUUGUCAUCGGUAUGUUACUUGCCCGAGAUUCGAUCGUCGGUAUCUCAAUACCUAGUUCAAUCUCGUUACCAGCAAGUCUCUUUACUCGUUCCGUAAUACAUCAUCCCGCAACUAACUCAUUAGUUACAAUGCUUGCAAGGCUUAUAGUGAUGUGCAUUACCGAGUGGGCCCAGAGAUACCUCUCCGACAAUCGGAGUGACAAAUCCUAAUCUCGAAAUACGCCAACCCAACAAGUACCUUUGGAGACACCUGUAGAGCACCUUUAUAAUCACCCAGUUACGUUGUGACGUUUGGUAGCACACAAAGUGUUCCUCCGGUAAACGGGAGUUGCAUAAUCUCAUAGUCAUAGGAACAUGUAUAAGUCAUGAAGAAAGCAAUAGCAACAUACUAAACGAUCAAGUGCUAAGCUAACGGAAUGGGUCAAGUCAAUCACAUCAUUCUCCUAAUGAUGUGAUCCCAUUAAUUAAAUGACAACUCAUGUCUAUGGCUAGGAAACAUAACCAUCUUUGAUCAACGAGCUAGUCAAGUAGAGGCAUACUAGUGACACUCUGUUUGUCUAUGUACUCACACAUGUAUCAUGUUUCCGGUUAAUACAAUUCUAGCAUGAAUAAUAAACAUUUAUCAUGAUAUAAGGAAAUAAAUAAUAACUUUAUUAUUGCCUCUAGGGCAUAUUUCCUUCAUGCAUCUCAUGCGGCUAUUUAAAUAUAUAUGCUUAAAUUGAUAUUGAUCUAUAUAUGCAUGUUAAAUUAAGACAACGGUCAUAUCGCUCUGUAUAAUAGUUUUAGAAUUACCGGGCAAAGUCAGCUGGGAGGGGGUGGCAAGAGAACGUUAUUUGUUGGCGGUUUUAGUUGUUAGGCGAGAUGAAAUGAUGACAGUUUUUAAAUGAAAAUUGCCUCCUCACCAAGAAACUGCGAUGCCGCAUGAAGAAAAUGACACACCUCGCCACUUCCUCACAACUAUAACUGCCACAAAAUCGUUCACAUAUGCCACCCUCCCCGUCGAACGUUCGCCAGCUAAAGUCGUCCUAGAAUUAUAGUUUUGGAAUACCUAAUGUACAAAAUAUAUUUGUAAAAAUUGCAUAAAUACACCGCCGUACCUAUGUUGACACAACAUGACUGUAGGGGGCUCUCCUCGCCUAGCCCGCGCCGCCGGCCCCGGCGUCUAGCCAACCGACGGCGACCACUCCGGCCCAAUCGUCCACAGAUCUCACCCAGCCCGGGCCUAGGGCCAUGGCCUGCUCCCCCACCCCCGGUCGACCUCGUGAGCGACGCUGGCUCGAGGUCAGCCUCUCGCCACCGAGCUUGUCCAGCCUGCGCGCCGCCUUGCCGCCGCCGUCCUAUCGCCAGGUGCUCUGCUCCGUGCCUCCCCGCCCCGCUAGCCCUGCGGCCCUGGCCUCAUCGACCGCUCGGCUUAUCCCGUGCUCGGAGAUCCACCGGGUCCCCUGUGCGCCAUCUCCGCCGUCGCAGGCCCCCUGGGAGAUGGUCCGCGGCCGCAAGCGCCCCCGUUCUUGCCGUGCUCGCCGGCCUGACGACGCGCGCCGCCCGUGUCCCGCUCAGCCUGCCCCCGCGGAGGAGUGCCCGCGCUGCUUCAGCACGGAGCACACGCGCAUCGAGUGCCGCUGCGUUAUCCGGUGCUCUCGCUGCCGGUUCUACGGACACCUCCGCCGGAACUGCACCAACCCCCCUACCGCCCCUCCCUGCCGGCGAAGCGUGCGCCCAGGCCUCCCCCACCCCAACGCUCCCUCCGAGCCCUGUGCGCACUCUGGGUCCAGCGUGGCGGGAUCCUUCCGGCCCGCGUCCUCUGGGUCGGGCAGUGUCUCCCCCGCGUCUCUCGCCUCCAUGCCUCGUUCUGCUUCUCCGGCGAGGUCCCGCACCCCUUCCGCCACCCCGGUGUGGUCCGCGGCCGCCUCCCCGGUGGCCUCGGGAUCGUCCGCGCCGCUGUCUGGCCACCCCUCUCGCCGCCCUGUGACCUCGCUCUGCUUCUGCCACGCUCUGCUGAGGUUUUUGCGGCGGAGCUGGAGCUACAGCAGCUCUCGCUGGUUGCCACCCUGGCUGGCAACCGUUCUAGGAUCUCCUGCACCAAGGUCAUCGCCGCGCUUCGGGAGCGCUUCCACCUCUCGCCGGACAUCCUCUCCGUCCGUCGCCACCAGCCCGAGCCGUUCCUCCUCAGGUUCUCUGACCCAGCCGCUCAUGCCCGCGUUGCUGCCGGAAACGCGCGCUUCCCACCAUUCUGGCUCAUCCUCCACCCCUGGAGCAGUCUGGCUGGUGCGGAGCCCAUGGAUCUUCCCUUUCGCGUGGACAUCAAAAUGAUUGGCAUCCCGGACCAUGCCUGGCAUCUCUCCUCUGCGGAAAUGCUGCUUUCUCCAUUAUGUGAGAUUGAGCACCUGGCUCCGGAGAUCCGCGAUUGCUCCGACCGCUCUGCGUUCAGGCUAUCGGCAUGGACCAACAACCCCGAUGCGAUCCCGCGACACUCUGAGCUCUUCCUCCCGGAGCCAGAUGCGGUGCUGCCUGAUGCCAACCCCGUGGUGGCCGAGUGUUUCGCGCUGCGUGCCCUCCGCCGCCCGGUGCGUAUCUUCGCCACUGAGACCGCGGACUUCCGGCGGCUGCCCCCCUCCUCGGGCUGACCAUGGCGGUGCUGCUCCUGGAGGUGACGAGUCUUUGCCUUUGCCAGAGCCUUGGCCAAGGCGGCAUCAGUUCCUGAGUCGGGCGGGAACUGCGGCGCUGCUGGUGCCCGCCCCGCGCCGGGCGGCGCCACCGAUGUGCUGUGGCGACGAGGUGCCCCACCCCCCCGCACGCGUCUAGUCUGGCGUGCUUUGGCCCCACCCCUCUGAUGCCCCUGUCCGUCCGUCCGGUCGCAUGGCCCACCGAAUCGCUUUUCCUGCCACGGAUAAAGCGCCUGCGACCAUUUUGGACUCUUCUGCCUGCGUGACCCUGCCGCAGCAUAUCCUGCUGUUGGUCCUUUGACCAACCGUUGCUUCGACCGACACGCCCCGCAAGGAUCCCAACCUUGAUUCCCCUCUAUCCUUCCGCUCCUCCGCACCAGGCAGUCCGGAGGAGCGCGCCACUCCGCUCCUGGACAGUUGUCCCCCUCCAUUUCGCGCGGAGCGCGCUCCAGAUUCUUCCACUGAGGGGGCCACUCUGCCCCCCGGCAAGCUCUUGACCCAAGCCUGACACGCCAGUCGCCCUGGCCCAUUGCGCCCCCGACGACGGGUCCGACCUGGGCGCUGAUCCAUGCGCGUCUGACGUCCCGACAGCAGAGCCCACUUUGCCCCUUUUGGCGUUGGACUCUCCAUGUGGUCUUGAUUCGCUGCAUGCCCCCCUCUCCACCAACGCUACGGGCGAAUCCACCCCUGCGCCACUGCAUGCAGAUAACCGUGGGACUUGGGCCACUACGGGCGCGGAUCCCUGCGAUACCCCCACCUGCUCGCCUGAUCCUGCGGGGCCGCUGCAUGGGCUCGUCCCACCGAUGCAUGCCAACCCUUCGACCCCCGCUGAUCUGGCGGCUUCCUGCUCCCUUUGCUGCAGGCCUCUAACCCACUGUUGCCUUCUCCCUCCCCUCAGUCUAGGCGCUGGCGCAACGACUUACCGCCUAACUUCACACCACACCGCAGUAACAGGAUCGCCUUGACCGACCGUGGCCUCAACUCUGAGCACAGGGCCAAGCGCGUGCUCCUCAAGUGGCUUGGGCUGCUUUCGGACGAUCAACCACUUUCAGACAGCGUUCUGCAGCAAUAUGCUCGCCCAUUCGAUCCGCCGCUCGCCGCAGAGACCAUUCAGGCCCUGACUGACUUCUACGGAUGGAAGAUACCGACUGCUGCGGCGGACUAGGUGUCUCCGGAUCGCGCCUCAUUAUGGCCUGAGUCCAUGUCCCCCGCCCCACCUGCUAGGAACCCCCCCACUGUUGUUAUGAAUCAAAAUCUUAAGAUUGUGUUCUGGAAUGUGCGCAGCCUUAAUUGCCCGGCCAGACGCAUCGCCGUUCUUUCCAUGAUCGCCUCGGUCUCCCCGAGUGUUGUUUGUCUCCAGGAGUCCAAGCUUGCUGUUGUUUCCCCUGCUGUGGUUGCCGAGACGUGUGGGACAGCUUUUCAGGACUUCUUCGUCCUCCCCGCUGAUGGGACACACGGUGGCAUCAUUCUGGCUUGGAGACAUUGGCCUCUACCACGUCACCGCCCUCGCCACGGUGCCCGGGCGCGAGGGGCAUUGGUCGCUGACUGAUACGUCUCCAACGUAUCUACUUUUCCUAACGCUUUUCCUCUUGUUGGACUCUAAUUUGCAUGAUUUGAAUGAAACUAACCCCGGACUGACGCUGUUUUCAACAGAACUACCAUGGUGUUAUUUUUGUGCAGAAAUAAAAGUUCUCGGAAUGAAACGAAACUUUGCGAGGAUUUUUUAUAUCAAUAAAGAGAAUUUCUAGAGCCAAGAGCCAUCGGAGGGGGGCACCUGGGUGGGCAAAACCCACCAGGGCGCGCCUGCCCUCCCAAGCGUGCCCAGGUGGGUUGUCCUCACCUGGUGGCCCGGCAGACCCUGAAACCGACGCUAUAAAAUCCUAUUUUUCCAGAAAAAAAUCAGGGAGAAAGAAUUAUCACGAUCCACGAGACGGAACCGCCAUCACCUCCUGUUCUUCAUCGGGAGGCCAGAUCUGGAGUCCGUUUGGGGCUCCAGAGAGGGGGAUCUUUGUUCUUGGUCAUCACCAACCCUUCUCCAUAGCCAAUUCCAUGAUGCUCCCCACCGGGAGUGAGUAAUUCCUUCGUAGUCUUGCUUGUCGGUGAGGAGUUGGAUGAGAUUCAUCAUGUGAUCGAGUUAGUUUUGUUAGGGCUUGAUCCCUAGUAUCCAUUAUGUUCUGAUAUUGAUGUUGCUAUGACUUUGCCAUGCUUAAUGCUUGUAACUUUGGGCCCGGGUGCCAUGAAUUCAGAUCUGAACCGUUUAUGUUAUCACCAUUAUAUCCAUGUUCUAGAUCCGAUCUUGCAAGUUAUAGUCACCUACUACGUGUUACGAUUUGGCAACCCCGGAGUGACAAUAGUCGGGACCACUCCCGGUGAUGACCGUAGUUUGAGGAGUUCAUGUAUUCACCGUGUGUUAAUGCUUUGUUCUGGUUCUCUAUUAAAAGGAGGCCUUAAUAUCCCUUAGUUUCCAAUAUGGACCCCGCUGCCACGGGAGGGUAGGACAAAAGAUGUCAUGCAAGUUCUUUCCAUAAGCACGUAUGACUAUUUACGGAAUACAUGCCUAGAUUAUAUUUAUGAACUGGAGCUAGUGCCAUAUCGCCCUAGGUUAUAAAUGUCUCGUGAUGAAUAUCAUCCACAAAUUACCGAUCCAAUGCCUACGAAUUUAUCUUAUAUUGUUUCUGCUAAGUUACUCCUGCUAUCGUUACUGUUGCACUUGCUACAAAAUUACUGCUCUCACUGUUACCGUUACCAUUGCUGCUGACACUACUAUCAUAUUACUUUGCUACUGAUCACGUUGCUGAGAUAAUUAAUCUCUAGGUGUGGUUGAAUUGACAACUCAGCUGCUAAUACCUUCAAAUAUUCUUUGGUUCCCCUUGUGUCGAAUCUAUAAAUUUGGGUUGAAUACUCUACCCUCGAAAACUGUUGCGAUCCCCUAUACUUGUGGGUUACAAGACCUUUUUCUGGCGCCGUUCCCGGGGAGGGUUAAUACUUUUCUCGUAGUUGCGGAUGAUUGCAGGAGGGUUAAUCAUAAGUAGGAGGUUUGUUCAAGUAAGAACAUCACCUAAGCACCGGUCCACCCACAUAUCAAAUUAUCAAAGUAGCGAAUACAAAUCAAACCAACAUGAUGAAAGUGACUAGAUGAAAUUCCCGUGUACCCUCAAGAACGCUUUGCUUAUCAUAAGAGACCAUUUUCGCCUGUCCUUUGCCUCAAAAGGAUUGGGCUACCUUGCUGCAAUUUUGUUACUACUAUCGUUACUUGCUCGUUCCAAAUUAUCUUGCUAUCAAACUACUCCGCUACUUACAAUUUAGCACUUGCAGACAUUACCUUGCUGAAAACCACUUGUCAUUUCCUUCUGCUCCUCGUUGGGUUCGACACUCUUACUUACCAAAAAGAGCUACAAUUGAUCCCCUAUACUUGUGGGUCAUCAAGGAUAUUUUCUGGCGCCGUUGCCGGGGAGUGAAGCGCCUUUGGUAAGGAAACAUUUAUAUAGUGUGCUGAAAUUUAUUCUUGCUACUAUGGAAAACAAUCCUUUGAGGGGUUUGUUCGGGGUAUCUUUGUUGGGGAAUGUAGUACUUCAAAAAAAUUCCUACAAUCACGCAAGAUCUAUCUAGGAGAAGCAUAGCAACGAGCAGGGAGAGUGUGUCCACGCACCCUCGUAGACCGAAAGCGGAAGCGUUAAGUAACGCGGUUGAUGUAGUCGAACGUCUUCGCGAUCCAACCGAUCAAGUACCGAACGCACGACACCUCCAUGAUCUGCACACGUACAGCUUGGUGACGUCCCUCGAACUCUUGAUCCAGCUGAGGCCGAGGGAGAGUUUCGUCAGCACGACGGCGUGGUGACGGUGAUGAUGAAAUUACCGGCGCAGGACUUCGCCUAAGCACUACGACGAUAUGACCGAGGUGUGUUUCUGUGGAGGGGGGCACCGCACACGGCUAAGAGAUCAACUUGUGUGUCUAUGGGGUGCCCCCUCCUCCGUAUAUAAAGGAGUGGAGGAGGGGGUCGGCCGGUGUCAAGGGGUGCGCCCCAAGGGGGGAAUCCUACUCCUACUAGGAGUAGGUUCCCCACUUUCCUAGUCCAACUAGGAGGGGAAGGAAAGAGGAAGAGGGAGAGAAGGAAAGCCCCCCCCCCCCCGAAUUCGGAUUGGGCUUGGGGGGGCGCACGCCUCCACUUGGCCGCCUCCUCCUGUCUUCCACUAGGGCCCAUGAAGGCCAUUAACCCCCCGGGGGGUUCCAGUAACCCCCCGGUAGUCCAGAAAAUGCCGGAACCUAUCUGAAACCUUUCCGGUGUCCAAACAUAACCUUCCAAUAUAUCAAUCUUUAUGUCUCGACCAUUUCGAGACUCCUCGUCAUGUCCGCGAUCACAUCCGGGACUCCGAACAACCUUUGGUACAUCAAAACACAUAACUCACAAUACAUCUCGUCAUCGAACGUUAAGCGUGCGGACCCUACGGGUUCGAGAACUAUGUAGAGAUGACCGAGACCCAUCUCCGGUCAAUAACCAAUAGCGGAACCUAGAUGUUCAUAUUGGCUCUGACAUAUUCUACGAAGAUCUUUAUCGGUCAAACCGCAUAACAACAUACGUUGUUCCCUUUGUCAUUGGAAUGUUACUUGCCCGAGAUUCGAUCGUCGGUAUCACUAUACCUAGUUCAAUCUCGUUACCGGCAAGUAUCUUUACUCGUUUCGUAAUGCAUCAUCCCGCAACUAACUCAUUAGUCACAUUGCUUGCGAGGCUUAUAGUGAUGUGCAUUACCGAGAGGGCCCAGAGAUACCUCUCCAACAAUCAGAGUGACAAAUCCUAAUCUCGAUCUGUGCCAACUCAACAAACACCAUCAAAGACACCUGUAGAGCAUCUUUAUAAUCACCCAAUUACGUUGUGAUGUUUGAUAGCACACUAAGUGUUCCUCCGGUAUUCGGGAGCUGCAUAAUCUCAUAGUCACAGGAACAUGUAUAAGUCAUGAAGAAAGCAAUAGCAAUAAACUAAACGAUCAUAGUGCUAAGCUAACGGAUGGGUCAUGUCAAUCACAUCAUUCUCUAAUGAUGUGAUCCCGUUCAUCAAAUGACAACUCAUGUCUAUGGCUAGGAAACUUAACCAUCUUUGAUUAACGAGCUAGUCAAGUAGAGGCAUACUAGUGACACUCUAUUUGUCUAUGUAUUCACACAUGUACUAAGUUUCCGGUUAAUACAAUUCUAGCAUGAAUAAUAAACAUUUAUCAUGAUAUAAGGAAAUAUAAAUAAUAACUUUAUUAUUGCCUCUAAGGCAUAUUUCCUUCAGUCUCCCACUUGCACUAGAGUCAAUAAUCUAGAUUACACAGUAAUGAUUCUAACACCCAUGGAGUCUUGGUGCUUAUCAUGUUUUGCUCGUCAGAGAGGCUUAGUCAACGGGUCUGCAACAUUCAGAUCCGUAUGUAUUUUGCAAAUCUCUAUGUCUCCCUCCUUGACUUGAUCGCGGAUGGAAUUGAAGCGUCUCUUGAUGUGCUUGGUUCUCUUGUGAAAUCUGGAUUCCUUUGCCAAGGCAAUUGCACCAGUAUUGUCACAAAAGAUUUUCAUUGGACCCGAUGUACUAGGUAUGACACCUAGAUCGGAUAUGAACUCCUUCAUCCAGACUCCUUCAUUUGCUUCUUCCGAAGCAGCUAUGUACCCCGCUUCACACGUAGAUCCUGCCACGACGCUUUGCUUAGAACUGCACCAACUGACAGCUCCACCGUUCAAUAUAAAUACGUAUCCAGUUUGUGACUUAGAGUAAUCUGGAUCAGUGUCAAAGCUUGCAUUGACGUAACCAUUUACUACGAGCUCUUUGUCACCUCCAUAAACGAGAAACAUAUCCUUAGUCCUCCUCACGUAUUUCAGGAUGUUCUUGACCGCUAUCCAGUGAUCCACUCCUGGAUUACUUUGGUACCUCCCUGCUAAACUAAUAGCAAGGCACACAUCAGCUCUGGUACACAGCAUUGCAUACAUGAUAGAACCUAUGGCUGAAGCAUAGGGAAUUACUUUCAUUUUCUCUCUAUCUUCUGCAGUGGUCGGGCAUUGAGUCUGACUCAGCUUCACACCUUGUAACACAGGCAAGAACCCUUUCCUUGCUUGAUCCAUUUUGAACUUCUUCAAAACUUUAUCAAGGUAUGUGCUUUGUGAAAGUCCAAUUAAGCGUCUUGAUCUAUCUCUAUAGAUCUUGAUGCCCAAUAUAUAAGCAGCUUCACCGAGGUCUUUCAUUGAAAAACUCUUGUUCGAGUAUCCUUUUAUGCUAUCCAGAAAUUCAGUAUCAUUUCCGAUCAACAAUAUGUCAUCCACAUAUAAUAUCAGAAAUGCUACAGAGCUCCCACUCACUUUCUUCUAAAUACAGGCUUCUCCAAAAGUCUGUAUAAAACCAUAUGCUUUGAUCACACUAUCAAAGCGUAUAUUCCAACUCCGAGAUGCUUGCACCAGUCCAUAAAUGGAUCGCUGGAGCUUGCACACUUUCUUAGCACCUUUUGGAUCGACAAAACCUUCUGGUUGCAUCAUAUACAACUCUUCUUUAAGAUAUCCAUUAAGGAAUGGAGUUUUGACAUCCAUUUGCCAAAUUUCAUAAUCAUAAAAUGCGGCAAUUGCUAACAUGAUUCGGACGGACUUAAGCAUCGCUACGGGUGAGAAGGUCUCAUCGUAGUCAACUCCUUGAACUUGUCGAAAACCUUUUGCAACAAGUCGAGCUUUGUAGACAGUAACAUUACCGUCAGCGUCAGUCUUCUUCUUGAAGAUCCAUUUAUUCUCUAUGGCUUGCCGAUCAUCGGGCAAGUCAACCAAAGUCCACACUUUGUUCUCAUACAUGGACCCCAUCUCAGAUUUCAUGGCUUCAAGCCAUUUCGUGGAAUCUGGGCUCAUCAUCGCUUCCUCAUAGUUUGUAGGUUCGUCAUGGUCAAGUAACAUGACUUCCAUAACAGGAUUACCGUACCACUCUGGUGCGAAUCUUACUCUGGUUGACCUACGAGGUUCGGUAGUAACUUGAUCAGAAGUUUCAUGAUCAUCACCAUUAGCUUCCCCACUAAUUGGUGUAGGAAUCACUGGAACUGAUUUCUGUGAUGAACUACUUUCCAAUAAGGGAGCAGGUACAAUUACCUCAUCAAGUUCUAAUUUCCUCCCACUCACUUCUUUCGAGAGAAACUCCUUCUCUAGAAAGGAUCCAUUCUUAGCAAUGAAUAUCUUGCCUUCGGAUCUGUGAUAGAAGGUGUACCCAACAGUCUCCUUUGGGUAUCCUAUGAAGACACAUUUCUCCGAUUUGGGUUCGAGCUUAUCAGGUUGAAGCUUUUUCACAUAAGCAUCGCAGCCCCAAACUUUAAGAAAUGACAACUUGGGUUUCUUGCCAAACCAAAGUUCAUAUGGUGUCGUCUCAACGGAUUUAGAUGGUGCCCUAUUUAGCGUGAAUGCAGCCGUCUCUAAAGAAUAACCCCAAAACGAUAGCAGUAAAUCAGUAAGAGACAUCAUAGAUCGCACCAUAUCUAAUAAAGUGCGGUUACGACAUUCUGACACACCAUUUCGCUGUGGUGUUCCAGGUGGCGUGAGUUGCAAAACUAUUCCGCAUCGUUUCAAAUGAAGACCAAACUCGUAACUCAAAUAUUCUCCUCCACGACCAUAUCGUAGAAACUUUAUUUUCUUGUUACGAUGAUUUUCCAUUUCACUCUGAAAUUCUUUGAACUUUUAAAAUGUUUCAGACUUAUGUUUCAUCAAGUAGAUAUACCCAUAUCUGCUCAAAUCAUCUGUGGAGGUCAGAAAAUAAUGAUACCCGCCGCGAGCAUCGACACUCAUCGGACCGCAUAUAUCAGUAUGUUUUAUUUCCAACAAGUCUGUUGCUCGCUCCAUUGUUCCGGAGAAUGGAGUCUUAGUCAUCUUUCCCAUGAGGCAUGGUUCGCAAGCAUCAAGUGAUUCCAAAAGCCCAUCAGCAUGGAGUUUCUUCAUGCGCUUUACACCAAUAUGUCCUAAACAGCAGUGCCACAAAUAAGUUGGACUAUCAUUAUUAAACUUAUAUCUUUUGGCUUCAAUACUAUGAAUAUGUGUAUCACUACUAUAGAGAUUCAGUAAAAAUAGACCACUCAUCAAGGGUGCAUGACCAUAAAAGAUAUUACUCAUAUAAAUAGAACAAUCAUUAUUCUCUUAUUUAAAUGAAUAACCGUCUCGCAUCAAACAAGAUCCGGAUAUAAUGUUCAUGCUUAAUGCUGGCACCAAAUAACAAUUAUUCAGGUCUAAAACUAAUCCUGAAGGUAGAUGUAGAGGUAGCAUGCCGAUGGCGAUCACAUCGACUUUGGAACCAUUUCCCACGCGCAUCGUCACCUCGUCCUUAGCCAAUCUUCGCUUAAUCCAUAGCCCCUGUUUCGAGUUGCAAAUAUGAGCAACAGAACCAGUAUCAUAUACCCAGGCGCUCCUACAAGCAUUAGUAAGGUACACAUCAAUAACAUGUAUAUCAAAUAUACCUUUCACUUUGCCAUCCUUCUUAUCCGCCAAAUAUUUGGGGCAGUUCCGCUUCCAGUCACCAAUCCUUUUGUAGUAUAAGCACUCAGUCUCGGGCUUAGGUCCAGACUUGGGUUUCUUCACUUGAGCAGCAACUUGCUUGUUGUUCUUUUUGAAGUUCCCCUUCUUCCCUUUGCCCUUUUUCUUGAAACUGGUGGUCUUGUUGACCAUCAACAUUUGACGCUUCUUCUUGAUUUCUACCUCCGCAGCCUUUAGCAUUGCGAAGAUAUCGGGAAUUGUCUUAUCCAUCCCUUGCAUAUUAUAGUUCAUCACGAAGCUUUUGUAGCUUGGUGGCAGUGAUUGAAGAACUCUGUCAAUGACACUAUCAACCGGAAGAUUAACUCCCAGCUGAGUCAAGUGAUUGUGGUACCCAGACAUUCUGAGUAUAUGCUCACUGAUAGAACUAUUCUCCUCCAUUUUGCAGCUGUAGAACUUAUUGGAGACUUCAUAUCUCUCAAUCUGGGCAUUUGCUUGAAAUAUUAACUUCAAUUCCUGGAACAUCUCAUAUGCUCCAUGACGUUCAAAACGUCGUUGAAGUCCCAGUUCUAAGCCGUAAAGCAUGGCACACUGAACUAUCAAGUAGUCAUCAGCUUUGCUCUGCCAGACGUUCAUAACAUCUGGAGUUGCUCCUGUAGCGGGUUUGGCACCUAGCGGUGCUUCCAGGACGUAAUUCUUCUGUGCAGCAAUGAGGAUAAUCCUCAAGUUAUGGACCCAGUCUGUAUAGUUGUUACCAUCAUCUUUCAACUUAGCUUUCUCUAGGAACGCAUUAAAAUUCAAAGGAACAGUAGCACGGGCCAUUGAUCUACAACAACAUAGACAUGCAAAAUACUAUCAGGUACUAAGUUCAUGAUAAAUUAAAGUUCAAUUAAUCAUAUUACUUAAGAACUCCCACUUAGAUAGACAUCCCUCGAAUCAUCUAAGUGACCACGUGAUCCAAAUCAACUAAACCAUGUCCGAUCAUCAUGUGAGAUGGAGUAGCUUUCAAUGGUGAACAUCACUAUGUUGAUCAUAUCUACUAUAUGAUUCACGCUCGACCUAUCGGUCUCAGUGUUCCGAGGCCAUAUCUGCAUAUGCUAGGCUCGUCAAGUUUAACUCGAGUAUUCUACGUGUGCAAAACUGGCUUGCACCCAUUGUAUGUGAAUGUAGAGCUUAUCACACCCGAUCAUCACGUGGUGUCUCGGCACGACGAACUGUCGCAACGGUGCAUACUCAGGGAGAACACUUAUACCUUGAAAUUUAGUGAGAGAUCAUCUUAUAAUGCUACCGCCGAACUAAGCAAAAUAUGAUGCAUAAAGGAUAAACAUCACAUGCAAUCAAUAUAAGUGAUAUGAUAUGGCCAUCAUCAUCUUGUGCCUUUGAUCUCCAUCUCGAAAGCACCGUCAUGAUUACCAUCGUCACCGGCUUGACACCUUGAUCUCCAUCGAAGCAUCGUUAUCGUAUCACCAACUAUUGCUACUACUACUAUUGCUACCGCUUAGUGAUAAAGUAAAUCAAUUGCAUGGCGAUUGCAUUUCAUACAAUAAAGCGACAACCAUAUGGCUCCUGACAGUUGCCGAUAACUGUUACAAAACAUGACCAUCUCAUACAACAAUUUAUAUAUCAUCAUGUCUUGACCAUAUCACAUCACAGCAAGCCCUGCAAAAACAAGUUAGACGUCUUCUACUUUGUAGUUGCAAGUUUUACGUGGCUGCUAUGGGCUUAGCAAGAACCGUUCUUACCUACACAUCAAAACCACAACGAUUUUUCGUCAAGUGUGCUGUUUUAACCUUCAACAAGGACCGGGCGUAGUCACACUCGAUUCAACUAAAGGUGGAGAAACAGACACCCACUAGCCACCUGUGUGCGAAGCACGGCGGUAGAACCAGUCUCAUGAACACAGUCAUGUAAUGUCGGUCUGGGCCGCUUCAUCCAACAAUACCGCCGAAUCAAAGUAUGACAUGCUGGUAAGCAGUAUGACUAUUAUCGCCCACAACUCUUUGUGUUCUACUCGUGCAUAUGACAUCUACGCAUAGAACUAGCUUGGAUGCCACUGUUGGGGAACGUAGUAUUUCAAAAAAAAAUCCUACGAUCAUGCAAGAUCUAUCUAGGAGAAGCAUAGCAACGAGCGGGGAGAGUGUGUCCACGUACCCUCGUAGACCGAAAGCGGAAGCGUUAAGUAACGCGGUUGAUGUAGUCGAACGUCUUCGCGAUCCAACCGAUCAAGUACCGAACGCACGGCACCUCCACGAUCUGCACACGUACAGCUCGGUGACGUCCCUCGAACUCUUGAUCCAGCUGAGGCCGAGGGAGAGUUUCGUCAGCACGACGGCGUGGUGAUGGUGAUGAUGAAGUUACCGGCGCAGGGCUUCGCCUAAGCACUACGACGAUAUGACCGAGGUGUGUUUCUGUGGAGGGGGGCACCGCACACGGCUAAGAGAUCAACUUGUGUGUCUAUGGGUGCUACCUCUUGAGCAUGCGUUGGUUUUCCCUUGAAGAGGAAAGGGUGAUGCAGCAAAGUAGCGUAAGUAUUUCCCUCAGUUUUUGAGAACCAAGGUAUCAAUCCAGUAGGAGGCCACACGCAAGUCCCUCGUACCUACACAAACAAAUAAGAACCUUGCAACCAACGCGAUAAAGGGGUUGUCAAUCCCUUCACGGCCACUUGCAAAAGUGAAAUCUGAUAGAGAUGAUAAGAUAAUAUUUUUGGUAUUUUUAUGAUAAAGAUUGAAAGUAAAGAUUGCAAAAUAAACGGCGACAGAAAUAGCUUGUUGACGGGAGAUUAAUAUGAUGGAAAAUAGACCCCGGGGCCAUAGGUUUCACUAGUGGCUUCUCUCAAGAUAGCAUAAGUAUUACGGUGGGUGAACAAAUUACUAUCGAGCAAUUGAUAGAAAAGUGCAUAAUUAUGAGAGUAUCUAGGCAUGAUCAUGUAUAUAGGCAUCACGUCCGCAACAAGUAGACCGACUCCUGCCUGCAUCUACUACUAUUACUCCACACAUCGACCGCUAUCCAACAUGCAUCUAGAGUAUUAAGUUCAUAAGAACAGAGUAACACAUUAGGCAAGAUGACAUGAUGUAGAGGGACAAACUCAAGCAAUAUGAUAUAAAUCCCAUCUUUUUAUCCUCGAUGGCAACAAUACAAUACGUGUCGUUUCCCCUUCUGUCACUGGGAUCGAGCAACGUAAGAUUGAACCCAAAGCUAAGCACUUCUCCCAUUGCAAGAAAGAUCAAUCUAGUAGGCCAAACCAAACUGAUAAUUCGAAUAGACUUGCAAAGAUAACCAAUCAUACAUAAAAGAAUUCGGAGAAGAUUCAAAUAUUGUUCAUAGAUAAUCUUGAUCAUAAACCCACAAUUCAUCGGAUCUCGACAAACACACCGCAAAAGAGUUACAUCGAAUAGAUCUCCAAGAAGAACGAGGAGAACUUUGUAUUGAGAUCCAAAGAGAGAGAAGAAGCCAUCUAACUAAUAACUAUGGACCCAAAGGUUUGUGGUAAACUACUCACACAUCAUCGGAGAGGCUAUGGUGUUGAUGUAGAAGCCCUCCGUGAUCGAUGCCCCCUCCGGCAGAGCGCCGGAAAAGGCCCCAAGAUGGGAUCUCACGGGUACAGAAGGUUGCGGCGGUGGAAAUAGGGUUUCGUGGUGCUCCUUGAUGGUUUCGGGGUACGUAGGUAUAUAUAGGAGGAAGAAGUAGGUCAGUGGAGCCACAAGGGGCCCACGAGGGUGGAGGGCGUGCCCAGGGGGGUAGGCGCGCCCUCCUUCCUCGUGGCCUCCUCAUUAAUUUAUUGACAUCCACUGCAAGUCCUCUGGAUCACGUUUGUUCCAAAAAUCACGCUCCCGAAGGUUUCAUUCCAUUUGGACUCCGUUUGAUAUUCCUUUUCUGCGAAACACUGAAAUAGGCAAAAAAACAGCAAUUUGCACUGGGCCUUGGGUUAAUAGGUUAGUCCCAAAAAUAAUAUAGAAGUGUAUAAUAAAGCCCAUUAAACAUCCAAAACAUAAUAUAUAAUAGCAUGGAGCAAUAACAAAUUAUAGAUACGUUGGAGACGUAUCAAGCAUCCCCAAGCUUAAUUCCUGCUCGUCCUCGAGUAGGUAAAUGAUAAAAACAGAAUUUUUGAUGUGUAAUUCUACUUAGCAUAUUCUUCAGUGUAAUUUUGUUUAUUGUGGCAUGAAUGUUCAGAUCCGAAAGAUUCAAGAUAAAAGUUAAUGUUGACAUAAAAAUAAUAAUACUUGAAGCAUACUAACCAAGCAAUUAUGUCUUCUCAAAAUAACAUAGCCAAAGAAAGCUCAUCCCUACAAAAUCAUAUAGUUUGGCCAUGCUUCAUUUUCGUCACACAAGAUGCUCUCAUCAUGCACAACCCCGAUGACAAGCCAAGCAAUUGUUUCAUACUUUAGUAAUCUCAAACUUUUUUCAACUUUGACGCAAUACAUGAGCGUGAGCCAUGGAUAUAUCACUAUGGGUGGAAUAUAAUAUGAUGAUGGGGGUUGUGUGUAAAAGACAAAAAAGGAGAAAGUCUCACAUUGACGCGGCUAAUCAACGGGCUAGGGAGAUGCCCAUCAAUUGAUGUCAAUGCAAGGAGUAGGGAUUGCCAUGCAACGGAUGCACUAGAGCUAUAAAUGUAUGAAAGCUCAACAAAAGAAACUAAGUGGGUGUGCAUCCAAAUUGCUUGAUCAUGAAGACCUAGGGCAUUUGAGGAAGCCCAUUGUUGGAAUAUACAAGCCAAGUUAUAUAAUGAAAAAUUCCCACUAGUAUAUGAAAGUGACAAAACAAGAGACUCUCUAUCAUAAAGAUCAUGGUGCUACUUUGAAGCACAAGUGUGGAAAAAAAGGAUAGUAGCAUUGUCCCUUUUUUUUCUCUUUUUUUUUCUUUUUUUGGUCCUUUUUUAUUUGGCCUUUCUCUUUUUUUUAUUUGGGACAAUGCUCUAUUAAUGAUGAUCAUCACACUUCUAUUUAUUUACAACUCGAUGAUUACAACUCGAUACUAGAACAAGUAUGACUCUAUAUGAAUGCCUUCGGCGGUGUACCGGGAAGGGCAAUGAAUCAAGAGUGACAUGUAUGAAAUAAUAUCCAUGGUGGCUUUGCCACAAAUACGAUGUCAACUACAUGAUCAUGCAAGGCAAUAUGACAAUGAUGAAGCGUGUCAUAAUAAACGGAACGGUGGAAAGUUGCAUGGCAAUAUAUCUCGGAAUGGCUAUGGAAAUGCCAUAAUAGGUAGGUAGGGUGGCUGUUUUGAGGAAGAUAUAAGGAGGUUUAUGUGUGAUAGAGCGUAUCGUAUCACGGGGUUUGGAUGCACCGGUGAAGUUUGCACCAACUCUCGAGGUGAGAAAGGGCAAUGCACGGUACCGAAGAGGCUAGCAAUGAUGGAAGGUUGAGAGUGCGUAUAAUCCAUGGACUCAACAUUAGUCAUAAAGAACUCACAUACUUAUUGUAAAAAUAUAGAAGUCAUCAAAAAUCAAGCACUACACGCAUGCUCCUAGGGGGAUAGAUUGGUAGGAAAAGACCAUCGCUCGUCCCCGACCGCCACGCAUAAGGAUGACAAUCAAAGAACACCUCAUGUUUAAAAUUUGUCACACAACAUUUACCAUACGUGCAUGCUACGGGACUUGCAAACUUCAACACAAGUAUUUCUCAAAUUCACAACUAAUCAACUAGCACAACUUUAAUAUUACCACCUUUAUAUCUCAAAACAACUAUCAAGUAUCAAACUUCUCUUAGUAUUCAAUGCACUUUAAAGUUGUUAUCUUGGAUGCCUAUCAUAUUAGGACUAAUUUUAUAACCAAAGUAAAUUACCAUGCUGUCCUAAAGGACUCUCAAAAUAAUAUAAGUGAAUCAUGAGAGAUCAAUAAUUUCUAUAAAAUAAAACCACCACCAUGCUCCAAAAGAUAUAAGUGAAGCACUAGAGCAAAAUUGUUUAGCUCAAAAGAUAUAAGUGAAGCACAUAGAGUAUUCUAAUAAAUUCUGAAUAAUGUGUGUCUCUCUCAAAAGGUGUGUACAUCAAGGAUGAUUGUGGUGAACUAAAAAAGCAAAGACUCAAAUCAUACAAGACGCUCCAAGAAAAACACAUAUCAUGUGGUGAAUAAAAAUAUAGCUCCAAGUAAAGUUACCGAUGGACGAAGACAAAAGAGGGGAUGCCUUCUGGGGCAUCCCCAAGCUUAGGCUUUUGGGUUGUCCUUAGAUUUUACCUUGGGGUUCCUUGGGCAUCCCCAAGCUUAGGCUCUUGCCACUCCUUGUUCCAUAAUCCAUCAAAUCUUUACCCAAAACUUGAAAACUUCACAACACAAAACUUAACAGAAAAUCUCGUGAGCUCCGUUAGCGAAAGAAAAAAAAACACCACUUCAAGGUACUGUAAUGAACUCAUUCUUUAUCUAUAUUGGUGUUAAAACUACUGUAUUCUAACUUCUCUAUGGUUCAUAACCUCCGAUACUAGCCAUAGAUUCAUCAAAAUAAGCAAACAACACAGGAAAAACAGAAUCUGUCAAAAACAGAUCAGUCUGUAGUAAUCUGUACCUAACGCAAACUUCUGGAACUCCAAAAAUUCUAAAAUAAAUUUCUGGACGUGAGGAAUUUAUCUAUUAAUCAUCUGCAAAAAUAAUCAACUAAAUAGCACUCUCCAGUAAAAAGUUGUAACUAAUCUCGUGAGCACUAAAGUUUCUGUUUUUUACAGCAAGAUCAAAAAGACUUCACCCAAGUCUUCCCAAAGGUUCUACUUGGCACAAACACUAAAUAAAACACAAAAACACAUCUAACCAGAAUCUAGAUGGAUUAUUUAUUCCUAAACAGAACCAAAAAUCAAGAAACAAAAAUAAAAUUGGGUUGCCUCCCAACAAGCGCUAUCGUUUAACGCCCCUAGCUAGGCAUAAAGGCAAGGAUAGAUCUAGGUCUUGCCAUCUUU